GAUGUCUUACUAGAAGCUAACCAACACCCAGAUCACUAUUACAUGGCAGCUAAAACUUAUUCCAGUGCUCCCGGUAGUCCUAAUGCUUUUGAUAAUACAACCACCACAGCUAUUGUACAGUACAGGGGAUACUACACUCCAUCUUCACCUCCCUCCUUGCCUCAUUUUCCUGCAUACAAUGACACAAAUGCAUCGGUUCAGGUCAUGGCCGGCCUCCGAAGCUUAGCAGAUGCGGAACAUCCUUGCAAUGUCCCAUUGAGCCCAAGCACUAAACUGAUUUACACUGUUUCUAUGAACUCGUUCCUAUGCCCCAAUAAUUCAUGUGGAGGGCCCAAUGGGACGCGGUUCGCCGCAAGUAUAAACAACAUAAGCUUCCAAUCCCCUACAAUUGACAUACUGCAAGCUUACUAUUAUAACAUCAGUGGUGUAUAUGGAGAUAAAUUUCCAAGCGUUCCACCACUGGUGUUCGAUUUUACCAAUGAUAUUCUUCCCUUAGAGUAUCAGAUUCCGAAAAACAGAACAGAAGUAAGGGUGCUCGAGUAUAACUCCACAGUGGAGAUUGUUUUUCAAGGGACAAGCUUGAUUUCAGGGACAACCCACCCCAUGCAUCUCCAUGGAUAUAGUUUCUAUGUUGUUGGAUGGGGAUUUGGGAAUUUCGAUAAAAAUAAGGACCCAUUGCACUACAAUCUAGUGGAUCCUCCCCUUCAAAGUACCAUCUCUGUUCCUACGAAAGGUUGGGCUGCAAUCAGAUUCGAGGCAUCCAACCCUGGUAUGUUGCAAGCACUCAUGUGAAUUUAGAAAAAAAAACCCUUGAAACUGCCAACCUACAUACCAAGGAAAUAAUUUUUCUUAACAUUGCAAUAAGUUAGGUGUAAUGUUGGUAUAUUUUCUCUAUUGCAGGAGUGUGGUUCAUGCAUUGCCAUGUCGAACGCCAUCUGACUUGGGGCAUGGAAACUGCGUUCAUAGUGAAAAAUGGUAAACACCUAGAAGCUGAAAUGUUGCCUCCGCCAUCUGACAUGCCACCAUGUUGAAGCUGCAAAGAAUUAACAUGGUAUAUUUUCAUUGAAUGUUUGCAUUAUUCAACUUUUUGUUUGACUAAGUAUUCCUCUUGUAUUAAAAUAACAAGCAUAAUGUAAAGUUGUAGAAUAUUGUCUGGGAUUAUUAUAUAAUUUGUCAAUUUCUUGGAUUGUUAAAAGUCUAUAAAGAUAAUAUUGUAGAAUAAUCUUUGAGAUAUGCUAUGGUGGAAUUUGCCAUGGAAGUCUUUGAUUAUAAAAAGAGAAAUUUACGCUAUGUUCCUAUUUCAACGUUAAUUAAUUUCAAUAUGAGUAACUCAUUAAAUAGACCAUUACAAUGCUAAUAAUCCUCCCAAUGCCAUAUUCACAAUAGAUAUAAAAGAGUAAUUGAAUUAUUCAAAUAUUUUAAAAUUAGACUAUGAUCUAAAAAGGUCAUGAAAUGGUUUGUUUAAUUUUUAAUUUUACAUCUCAAAAUAUUUUGCAAAUAAUAAAAAUUUUAUGAAGUCUUACACAAUGGAGAUAAAAUCAAUUCUUUUCUAUUUAUUUAUUUCAAAUUAAAAUAAUCACUUUUUCCUAAAUUUAAAAUAAUUGAUAUAUAAUUUAUAUUUUUACCUCCUAUUUUAGUAACAAUAUCACAAGAUCUACACCAAGAUAAAGGAGAAGGAAAAAAAAGUGAAAAAAAAAAAAUCAUCCAUUUCCAUUGCAUGGGGACAAAUUGAGUUUAACCUGACACCGAAGGAACUCCAAGUCUAUUUUUAGUUAUUUAACUUUUCAACCCUCAUUUUUUAUUUUUUAUUUUUUAUUUUACAUCAUAGUAAACCCUUUCCUACUUUCUUAAAUUUAAAUAACAAGUAAAAAAUUGAUUCAAACGAUUGAUCAUUUGAAUUUAUGAUUUAGAGAAAAGAAACUUAACAAUUAACUAAGCUACUACAAUUGACUGAACUCUCCAAGUCCAAGUCAAUGAAGUUAGAAAUUAUGUUUAAGUGAUUUUUGGGAUUUUUAAAAGUGAUUUUCAUAUAUAUAUAUAUAUGUGUGUGUGUAUUUAAAUUUUAUUUGGAUUGACUUUUAAGAGUUAAAUAAAAGUUUUUAUACCUAUUUAAUUAUUUAAAAAAAAACUUAUAACUUUAAAAAAAGGUUUCACAUAGAAGUCAUAAAAAUGUUAUUUCUUAUAAGAAUUUUAUGAUUCUAUUUUUGUUUAUUAUAGAAGUUCUUUCAUGUUGAACAAAACUUUUACAAUAUCAAUAUUACCCCUUAAAGAUUAUUACUUUAAUUUUGAUUUUAAUUUUCAUUUAAAGGAAAAAAUAUGAAGCUAUCCCGAAUUUGACCUUACUAUCCACCUAAUUAAUUUUUAUAAGAAAGUGUUAUUUUUUAAUAUUUAGAAGGGUUUUUAUUUAUUUAUUUUUAAAUAAUUCCCAAUUGAAAUUUAUAAGAAAGAAAGAAAAAGUUUUCUCUAAUAUUAGAAAGAAAUACAAAAUUUAAAACAUGGAUUGAAGUGAUUAUAGAACUUUGUUACAUAUUUAAAAUUAGUAUCUCUUAAUUUCUUACAACUCCAAUCUCCAAUAUUUGUUCUUUAUCUAAAAUUUGACAUAAGGAAUGGUUAUCCACUCAUAAGACAAGACAUGAAAUAUAAUUUUGUUUUAGGUAACAUCAAAUUCAAUGCAUUAAAAUCAAAGAGCAAGUGAGGAUCCAGAUUACUCCCUGUGCAUGGUCUUUGACAGUGGUUCAUAUGAAAUUUAUUUCUAGUCAAAUUAUUUUUAUUAUCUAAUUUUAGAUGGUGUUUGUUUUUGUAUUGAAUAGAAAAUGUUAAAAUAUUUAAUUUUUUCUAUUUAGUUAAAAAUAACCUGUUGAUAUCAACCUAACAUAACUAAACUAAACCUAUUAAUAAUAAGUUCACUUUAGUUAUGUUGAUUGAUAUCAAUAAGUUACUUUUAGUUGAAUAAAAAAAAAUCAGAUAUUUUAAUUUUUUCUAUUCAGUCAAAAAAAUAAAUAUUAUCUUAGUGUUAGAAAUACCCAUGUAUUUCAAAUCAAAAUUAGAGGACAACAACCUUUUAAUUUCAAUAAUACAAUUAUUAUUAUUAUGGCUAAAAAUCAGCCUAUCAUUCGAGUAAGCGCGCACACACACACACACACAUGUAUAUAUAAUGCCAAUAUCAUUAUUUUAAGCUAUGGCAUAAAUCUUUCAUGCAAUCAUUUCAAUGAUUCCUUUAAAUAAUAGAAAGAGAUAUUNNNNNNNNNNNNNNNNNNNNNNNNNNNNNNNNNNNNNNNNNNNNNNNNNNNNNNNNNNNNNNNNNNNNNNNNNNNNNNNNNNNNNNNNNNNNNNNNNNNNAAUCAUAUUAAUCCUAAAAAUAGGGACUUAGUAAUAAAAUCAAGCAAAAGGGUACAAUUAAACUCACACAUUUAAUUUGAAUGCCGUUUACGUAUUUCUAAUAUUAGGCUUAAGGUUCACACGCAAGGUUUCCUAGGGAUGCUUUAAAUAAUAGAAAGAGAUAUUUAAUUUACAAACUUUGUGCAGAGAUAGGAUAAUUUUUUUUUUUUAGAUUAAAAUUAUCCUAUCUCUACACAAAGUUUGUAAAUUAAAUAUCUCUUUCUAUUAUUUAAAUCUUCCCUAGGAAACCCAAUGAUUGAACCUAAAUAAUAAUAUUUGUAAUACUUAAACUAUAUUCAUAUUUAAUAUUUGAUUUUAAUUUUACCUUUUUGCUUUAUUUUAUUACUAAGUCCCUAUUUUUAGGUUUAAUAUGAUUUUUUUUUUAUAAAAAAAAUAUAUUUUUCCUCUUAUUUUUUUAUAGAUUUCUAUCAAAUGUUGGAAGAUGUCUUUCUAUAUAAUUGGAUACCAAUUAUUAUUUGUUUAUUUAUUUUGAAUAAUUACUAUAUAUUCCCCACCCUAUGAUUGUCGUAUGGUUGACACAUCAUCUAAUAAGAGAGCUUAACAUAUUCUAGCCAUUUUCAUGCUAAAGAGGGGUCCACAAGUUGCUGCCUAUGCCAAAAAAGAUAAGCAAAAGUUGACUUCUAUCCUUGACUAGUUGCCAUCAAUUGUCCAACCUUGCCAUAAGGUUCAUUCAUCUUUCUUAUCUUAUGAAUUGGUGUAAAGAUAACUAAAUAAAGGGAGAAAUGUUGAUUGAAGAAUGUAGUUAAAAUAUGAUGUAAAAUAGAGUAGUAGUGUAGAAAUGCAAGAAUAAAGAGGAAGAAUAUACUAUCUUGUUGUAGUUAUUAAUUUUUAUUUAUAAAGGUUGUGUUUGGUUUUUCAGAAAAUGCAAGGGAAAGGAAAAAAAAUACUAUGAAAAGUUAUUUUCCUUAGUUUGGAUGACAUGAAAAAUAUGAUGGAAAAAAAUAUAAAGGAAAAUACUAAAGAAAAUAUUGUAAUAUUUUCCCUCUUACUUUCCUUAAAAAUUAGUGAGGAAAAUAAGAGAUAAAGAUAAGGCAAAAGUUGGAGGAAAUUUUGUCAAGCUCACAUUAUCUUCUUCACCGAGUCUCCAAUUCACCUAACUUCAUCUUCACUAGUGGCUAUGGUUUGCCACUACCAUCGACCCUUUCAACAGCUACCACCAUUACUCCAAGCACCUUCCAGUGCCCCCAAAAUCCAACCCUCUUCUAGUACACAAGUUCCUAUGGAUGCAUUGCAUUCUUCAAAUCUAGUCAAUGUGUUCAAAUCCAUAUCUUCAUAUUAGGUAUGGAUUGAAUUCCUCUCUCUUAACAUCACACCUUGAUUUUUUUAGAUGUAGAUCUUCUCUCAAUGAACCAAAAUAUGCCAAAACUCAAAAUAAUAUAUAUAUAUAUAUAUAUAUAUAUAUAUAUAUAUAUAUAUAUAUAUAUAUAUAUAUAUAUAUUCAUAUUUAGAAAUCUAAACACCCAAAUUUUGUAGAUAUGAAAAAUCUGAUGCUACUCUUUGUAAUUGGACUUUGAUGUUUCUCGUGUUUGCAUUUUUUAAUUCCUGUGCUUCCAUUUGAUUUUCAAUAUAAGAAUUUUAAUUUUUUGUUUCAUACUACAAGACUUAAUAGCAAUAAUGAAGACAUUACAUGUUUGAGGAAUUACCUAUAAGAGAAUCUAACACACCAAUGAAACUAUUGCUAUAACCAAAGAAAAAUUAUCUUAGAAAGCUAUAAAAAAAAAAACAAAAAAAGUGUGUUGAACAGCUAUAAUAAUAGUAUUGUGGAUUGGGUAUGAGAAAAUUACAGAAGAUGGAGCAUUCUUGAUGUGGUAAAUUUGCAAUUGAAUGGAAUUUUCAAUAAGGAGCAAGAUGUCCCUUUUGUGUAGCCUUUGAUGUUAGCUUGGGCAGUGAAAACUUCAUGAACUAAAACUAUCAACUUGUCCUUUGGCACUAGAUAGUUUCUUUCUUAAUAUAAAUGUAGUAAGUAUUCUUAGCAAAUACAACUUAGUUUUGGUGAUAUAGUUUUUCCUUAAUACUUUAUCAUCAUGAUAGAACUUGGUAAACAUCUCUUAGGUCAAUUAUGUGAUAUUUAAAAAUUCCCUCUUAAAAAUUCUAAACAACUUAUCUAACUUUAGAAGCCUUCUUACUUAAUUAAUGCACAAUUAAUUACAUAUGUUUAUAAGACCACUCUCUUUUGUAGUAGCUCUCUAGAUUAUUCUUGCAAAAUUUCCUUUGUUGUGGAAGUCUUAGUUCAUGCAUGUAGUUAAUCCACUUGAAGCAUUGUAGUGAGAAGGUGCUUGAGACAAACCUUUGUAUUGAGCUAAUAAGCAAUUCCAUCAACUUCAAAUUUGGUUACUUUCAUUUGGCCCCCAAAUCUUCAUUUUGCAUGAUUUGAUAGACAAGCCUAACUAGCCUUAGAUAAUAGUUUAUAGGCAACUCCAAUAGCAGUUGUCUCAAAUUUUAUUAGAAAAAGACUAUUUGGAAACCUCCCCAAUAGCAAAACUUGACAUGCACACACCAUUGGUUCUUUCUACUUGAAUUACUCUAUUUCAAUAGCGUAGUGAAACUAGAGAUCAAACUAGUUUGUAUUUGGCCUAUGAAAGCUUCAAUCUAGAUCACUUACUAAAAGUGGACUGGCAAACAAACCUAAGUAGUAAGGGAGUGGGACAGAUAUAAUUGCUUAGAUUUUGGAGUGUUGUGGAGAAUCUUGAGACUUUGUGAGUUAAACCAUGCUCAUCCAAAGCCAACUUAGUUGGGCUACAGUUUGGUGUUAGAGGCUUGGAGCCUAACUUCCAUGGCUUUAUUACAAAUUAAAAUUUUCUUAUGGCAUAAGUAUGAUCUAAAAUUUAAAAUCCUUGUACCUGAGGACUUAAUAAUGAUGAUCUAAUAUAAUUUCAAGUCACAAGCACCCAAUGUGUCAAUAAUAAUACUCAUUAACUUACUCCUAAUAAGAAAAUAACCCACCAGUCUACUCCUAUACAUUAUUUUUUAAAAAUUUAAUUGUAAUAUUUGUAGCAUUUUUUAUUUUUGUCUAAAACAAUUUGAUAAUUUUGGUUGUGUGGGCAAUGUGGAGAAAAAAACAUAUAAACUCACUAUUUUGGUCUAAAUUGAGUUAACUAAAUUGAAUCAAACUAAUAUUAAGUUGGAUUAGUUUAAGUCGAUAAAAAAUUUGUUAUACUUUAGUUAAAACCAAGGAUAAAAAUAUCAGUAAUCAUGGAUAUAUCAAUACUUCAAUUUUAUGGAUAUAUCGAAGAUAUAUCAACAAAUAUUUUGGGAAAAAAAUUCAGUAGGCCUAAAAUUAUUAAAAACUCAUGAAAAUACAUGAAAAACCUCAUAACAAUAUAAUUAGAAGUAUAAUAGACAUUUUAAAGUUGUUUUAUUAAAAAAUUUGAUAUAUGUAUGAUAUAAUUUAUGAUAUUAGAUGUAAUUAUAUCAUGUCAAUUUAUAAGAAAUGUUAAUUUUGUAAUUGUACACUCAUUAUGAAGUUACAUAAAAUACUUCAUUUCAUUAAAUAUCUAUAAUUUGUACACAUUGCAUUGCAAUGUCCCUUUAGUACCAAAAUGAGGAUCGAUUUUGUUCAAUGGAAUAGGUAGAUGAAGGAACCCUGUCUUGCUAUUGGAGACAAUAUUGGUACCAACUCAAUGAGCCUUGAUAAUAUUGGUUAAAAAUUAUAACAUGCCAUGCAUAUAUCUCUUGAGUCCUACCCACUACCUCUACAUGGAUACGAUACUCAAGGUUCACGCAUGUGUUAAUGUCAAAUCCUCAUUCCAUGUGAUAUGAAACUUGGUAUGACAUUCUUGUGGAAGGGGAGUAACUCGGCAUACCAUACUCUUCAUUGGUUGAACUUGAAGGUUGAACAUAACUCAUCACAUGAGGAGGGUAGAUGUUAGCCUCAUUUGAGGAGUCACUAAAUUGAGUCCCUAUACUCAUAAAUUCAAAACUCCUUAAAAGUAACUUCUCGUCAUAUGGUCCAUUGUUCGUUAUCUUCCUCUAUAGGGUUUCUCAAUAUCUCUUAUGCCUGGACCAGCUCUUCUAGAGCCAUGGUCUUCAUCUUGUGUGCAGUGUGUGAAAUCAUUUUCACAGGUAAAUUAGCUCAUUGGAUAUUGACUCUGUUGACAUUCCUAAAUAUCUGCUCCCGCAUUAUUACCUCCAUCAUCAGUUCCACCUCUUAAACCAUCGUAACCAGAAGCAAAAGUACCUACAACACUAGGUCUACUAUUGUGGCUAGCACUUCUAGAGUCAACCUUUUGGUGGGAAUUCAAUGUCGUAUGAAAUGAAUCCUCGGUAUCUUUUCUAAAACUUUCAGAGUGAACUUCUUUAGACAACACACGUUCAACAUUAACUCCAAAUUCUUGAGCAUGAGCAACAAAUCGUGGAUCAGGAUUUCCAAUUUCAUCAUCCAAGUGUAUAGGCCUAACCCAUUAAAACAACUGAUUAUCUUCUUCUUCUUCGCCCAUCUUGGUUGAAAUGUCAAGAAGAUCAAGAUAAUAUUUUUCACUAACUUGAUCAUUUUCUGUCUUCAUAUCAAGUAACUUUAGCCUCAUAUUAUAGUAACAAAAAACUAAUUGCUCCAGUCCAGGGUAAGGUGAUUACUACCAAAAAGUGUUAUUUUUUAGACCUAAUUAUAAUGGUUUUAAGCACCUUUGAGUAGUAAUCAUAUUCAUUUAACCCAAUUAAUUCAUUAAGGUCCUUAGUAAUUGGUUUUAACCAUUUUGUGGCAAGUUUACAUGUUUUUAUCAGCUUAUGAAUCAAUUCAAGCAUGCCAAAUGAUGGAGGAGCUACUUGGACAAGUUAUGGCAAAGCUUUUGGAAGCUCAAAUUCAUGAAGAACCAAGCUUUGGAGCUCCAUAGGCCUUUGUCAAAGUCGUUCAAAGUAUGCAAGGAAAGAACAAUGGAGAAGAGGAAAACAGAGUGAAGAAAAUAGAGGACAGCAGCUGCAGUCUUCUUUCGCACUUUUGGAGCACUUCCCGAAGUCAAUUUUCUACAUGAUAUAUACCAUUUCAAAGCUCAGGAAGUCAAGAAUCCAAUGCUUCAAACUGUGUACGAUUUGGAGCUGAAAUGAGGAAGAUAUGGCCUUUGGAAGACAACUGCUCCAGGCUUGUGCGAAAAUUUCGCACAACACCUUCCAAAUUCGCACAGCCCAUNNNNNNNNNNNNNNNNNNNNNNNNNNNNNNNNNNNNNNNNNNNNNNNNNNNNNNNNNNNNNNNNNNNNNNNNNNNNNNNNNNNNNNNNNNNNNNNNNNNNUUGAGUAGUAAUCAUAUUCAUUUAACCAAUUAAUUCAUUAAGGUCCUUAGUAAUUGGUUUUAACCAUUUUGUGGCAAGUUUACAUGUUUUUAUCAGCUUAUGAAUCAAUUCAAGCAUGCCAAAUGAUGGAGGAGCUACUUGGACAAGUUAUGGCAAAGCUUUUGGAAGCUCAAAUUCAUGAAGAACCAAGCUUUGGAGCUCCAUAGGCCUUUGUCAAAGUCGUUCAAAGUAUGCAAGGAAAGAACAAUGGAGAAGAGGAAAACAGAGUGAAGAAAAUAGAGGACAGCAGCUGCAGUCUUCUUUCGCACUUUUGGAGCACUUCCCGAAGUCAAUUUUCUACAUGAUAUAUACCAUUUCAAAGCUCAGGAAGUCAAGAAUCCAAUGCUUCAAACUGUGUACGAUUUGGAGCUGAAAUGAGGAAGAUAUGGCCUUUGGAAGACAACUGCUCCAGGCUUGUGCGAAAAUUUCGCACAACACCUUCCAAAUUCGCACAGCCCAUGCGUGGUGCGAAUUUUCCUCUGUUUUUGCCGACUCCACUUUAGAUAUUUUCCUAUGUAUUUUUUGAUGUAAUUUCCUUUCUUAUCCUUGUAACUAACCAAUCACAAACUUUUGCUUUUGUAAAGACUAUAUAAGGGGUGGAAAUCACCUCUUGGAAUAUAUAGAACAUGCGUGUUACGUUUUACACGGAGUGAUAUACAGAGCUCUCUCGUUUCUCUUUUCUCUUUACUAUUUUAUUUUCUUGGAAGCCAAACAGCCUCUGAGGGCUUUUCCUCAGAGGAUGAUUGGCUAAAACUUUUAGUUUCUCAAAGUAUGGAUGUUAUGUGAUGACUUGGAUGCAAUCCCAUGGAAAUUUCUCGCACCUGGAAGGUAAGGUAGUCGUUUUUCAUUAAAGGUUCAUUAAUGCAAAGUUUGGUUUUUAUUUCCUUUGCACAACUUCCAACGGCCAAUACUUGAUAAGCUUUUGGAUUUCUAUCCAUUAGUUAUCUCCUACGAGCUAUUGGAAGGUGAGGUUUUCAAUUCCAAGUUUUGCAUUAAUCCAUUAGAACCAAUUUCAAUGGCCAUUGAAAGGUGAGUUUAUCACCUGGAAUGACUUUGAGUUGCCAAUAUUUGGUAAGCUUUUGGCUUUAGACCAUUAGUUAUCUCUUACGAGCCAUUCAAAGGAAGUCUAAGGUGAAUAACCAUUGAUGAAAUUCACUACCAUCUGUUUUGCCAUUUUAAAGGAUUAAAACUUGAUUUGCUAAAUCCAUACCGGUUCGGGAAGCAAGCAUCACCAUAGUUGCAACCCCAACGCGAGGAGCCUAUCCUGAGAUUUCCAAUUUGCAUAAGAGCUAGAGCAUAGCUAUCCUAUCUUUGAGAAACUUGUUUUUACACCCUUUCAUUUUAGUCUUUAAUGUUAGCUUAGAUUAGUUUAAAUCUUUCUAAAACAUUUACAUCUUCUUUUAAAGCUAACAUCCAUAAGAAAAUCACCUAUAUUCCUAAUUUGAAUAUCACUAGUGUUUGCGAAAACCCUUCCCAGUGAACGAUCCUAGAACCACUAUGCUUAGUAGCUUGGCUACUUUAGUAAUAGUAUUUAAGGUAUAAAUUUUGUUGAUACGCCUUUAAAGCUAAGCUACCAUGAGUCGAAUCAUAAGGCAAAUGAUUUCACUGCUUUGUGUGGAUGAGAGCGAACGUGCUCCAAUUUCUUUCACAAGCAAAAGAUGACGCAGUUUGUGAGAGAACUUUGACGGCUAACUUCCUCAAUGUAGGUGUUAGAUUCCCAUACAUGAACCAUCAUUCAGUUACAACCAAUUUCAUAAUUAUAUAGAUACUUAUAUGGUGAAUUUACAAUAAUGAUAAUCAAUUUUUUUCCUAUAAAUACUCACCGAGCACCAUGGUUGACCUUGCUGCAAUCGCCACUCAAUCAUCGAAUCCUCUUUUUGCAUCUCGAAAAAGCACAAGCUGUAUAUUCAACACUUAAUUUGUUAAUAUCAUAUUUGUUAGUAAACGUUCAAAUAAAUUGACGAAUGAAAUUAUUGUUUUAUUAACAAAAAUAAUGGUUUUUUAUUUACCUCAUUUUGAAAUUGACCAAGUGAUUCAGUAGUUGGGUCCAAUUUUGCAAAAAUGUCAUGGACCGCUUGAAGUAGUUCUAGAUCACUACCAACUCCAUGCCUACAUCGAAAUCCUGGAUUCAAGAAGUAUGCUACAAUAAAAUUAAGUAGAUUUAGUACUUUGUUAGAGAAAAUUAAAUACAGAGUAAAAACUUAUAAAGAUAGAUAGUACUUAAGUACCUACUGCAUGAAGUGGAUGUUUUAGUGUUUUCUCUCAAUGAUCUUUUAUUAUUUUGAAGAUCCAAUCUCCAACUCCUUGACGACACUACAAGAAAAAUAGCCUUCGUUGACAAUUUUUCACUGUCAAUGUAAGGUACAUCUGUGAAGGUAGGUUAUUGUUCAUAUAUGUUAUCUAUGCCAGUGACAAGAAAAGUUUAAAGGUAACUUGACAUAUAUAUAUGUUAAGAUUUUCUCUAUUUUUACAAAUGAUGAAAUCUUAUUAGUAUAUGAUAUGUCAAUGUUUCUUUCAUAUAUGUUAAGGUUGGAUUCAACUUAUAUCAACAUUACUUAAUCUUAUGUCAAUGUUAACUCACUCUUUUGUUAAGAUUAGUCCAACAAAUGUCAAGGUUAGGUAUCAUAUAUGUCAUGAUUAACUCCACAUAUAUCAAGGCUUUUAGAUACAUAUGUCAAGGUUAGAUUUUAUAUAUAUCAUAAUUGGCUUAUAUAUGUCAAUGUAGGGAAUAAAGGCAACUGUGAAGGUUCCCCUCGAAAAAUUUUAAAAUUAUUUUUUAAUAUGAAAAAUUGAACCUGUUGUCAUGUAUAAUCAAUUUGAUAUUAUUUAAGAAUGAUAAUGACAAUCAAAUUAUCAUGAUUUUAUAUAUAAUCAAAGCAUAUUUAAUAUACAUUUAAUUAUUAAUUAAAGCACAAAUCAAUGAACUUGUUUAAAGUUGUACCCAAUUUCUCUAUAUAGAAGAAACUCAUAUAAUAUACAACGAAAUUAAAAACACACUAUAAGACAAUAUAUAUAAACUUAAAUUAAGUUGCUCAUGUAUAUAUCUACAACCAAGUCUCUUGCCUCCAUCUUGAAGCAUUACUUUAUAGGAAAGCCUUAAAUUUCCAACACCCAAACUUCGAAUCUGUAGCAAAAAAUAAAGAGCAUAUUAACAAAUUAAAAAGAAAAAUGUAUAAUGAGGAGCAAUCAAAUAUCAAGCCUUAUGAAGAAUUUUAAUAGCAAGCUAGCCACUACACCUUUAUUAGACAAUAAUAGAUUAUUUCUUAAUAACACAAGUAAACAAACCAACUCUCAAAGAUAGCCUACAAAUCAUGCACAAAUGCUUCAUUUGGCGGCUUAUAAAGAUGAGGAAAAAAAUGACAACACAACCUGUUAUAGUUUACCAAGCUUUACAAAAAGGUACAUGAAAAAAAAUAAAUAUGACAUCAUAUUGAAUGAGGAUAGGAAAAAUAAAUGAACAAAUUUAGCAAGAACUAAACUUUAAUUUUCAUGCAGGAUCAACUAGUUUAUCAUAAUAAAAUUUAUCAAUAUAGCUGAGCAGAGAUUUGAUGUAAUAAUACCAUACAGAAUUCAAGUAAAAUUAAAUUAAUCAAAUAGGACACUACGGUUAUAUUUGGAUACAUAUUCUAUUUUUUAUUUUUAAAAUUAAAAUUUUGAUAUAAAAUAUGACAACCCUUUGUAUAAAAAAUAAAAAUUUAUCAUAUAAUCUUAAAAAUACUUUUCAAUAUUAAACAAAAAAAUGAGGAUGUGUCCUAAAAUUUUAAACAAAUUUAAAAAUAUUUUUAAAUACCCAAGGUAUCCAUUUUUUUCCUUUUUAAUAAAAAUUCCUAUAUUUUAUAUAAAACUCUAUUUUAAAAAAUGUAUCCAAACAUAAGCUAAAUUGUUAGAUUUUAUUGUGAGAUUUCUUGGAUUCUACAAUUCAUAGUGAAAUGAAGAUGAGAGAUAACUGACUGAACUAUGAAAAAAAAAAUUUAACAUUUAUGAGAUUCAAAAAUGCUAGUUAAUGAAAGAGGUUCUUCGCCAGGAUGACUAAGAAAAAUGCUGAAAAAUGUGUCAUGCCCAAAGCAAUAUUACAAUGAAGAAUAGAAUGAGAGCUAGCCUGAAAUAAAAUCCGACAAUCGCCAUGAAAGCCUGGAUGCAGAGGAAAUGUAACUAGAGACAUGUAAGGAAUCAUUAAACAAGUGAGAACAAUAUCAGAAUCUCAUGUAUGACUUACUUACCUUUCCCUGAGAUUCAAACCUGAAUUUUACUGUAAACCAUGACAAUCCUCUAUCUACAAUAGGUGCAAGUGCAAGGGCCCUGCAUAAGAAGCACCUCUACAAAAAUCAUAGAAAACCCAAGAGAAAAAAAAGAGAGUAAAUAAUUAGAAACUAGUCUACCAAAAACUAGGAGGCUGCAGCAAAUAAUCUCCAAAUGUCAGAUUUAAUAAUUUUUUAUGAAUGCCACUAAAAGGCCUUUUCAUCAUAGAAAUCUAGAAUAAAAAAGGAUAAGAAGCCAUUUGGAUUACAGAGGUCAAAGAUUGGGUUGGAUAGGAGCAAGUUUAACCUCCUUAGUAAAAAUGAAAAUGCAAGGCCCAUCAUCAACACUAGGUUCAAAAAUUGACACCAUUUCUUGAAGACUUUCUUUUUUUCAUUCUUCAAUUGUCAUUUUGAUUCAAAGAAGCAGCAACAUGAUAGACUAAAUAAUCAUCAUAAACCCAGUUUCAAGUUACAAGGAUAAGAAAGAAAAUGAACAGAAAACAUAUAUGAGAGAACUGAUAGGCCAAAAAAAUCAUUGUUGAAGGAAUCAAGCAUAAAUCUUUGAACUAGGGAAAUUCACUGAUUUUGGGUUAUUUUGUGAUAAGAGCAUUGGAAUAUCCCAAUAAACUAUUAUGCUAAUUAAAGAUUUAAAACAGAAUUUAGGUGCUUACCCUCUAGCUCUGACAAGUUUAGUGACCUGGCUGCCUGCCCACACCAUAGCCAUGAUUUUGACAAAUCUACCAAUUGGAUUCCAUAUGUCAAGAUAUUUUGAAAAACUUGUGCAAAAAGAAACUUUUUGGAAUAAGUUUUUACCUUUCAACUGCCACCAAAUAACCCAUCCUUCUUGGUUCUAGAGCAAUAUAAAACCUAGAAGCAGCAUAGUGAAUUAAGAGUUAUACUGGUUAUUUGAAAUCUACUCUGAACACCUAUGAUAGAGACUGCAGGAUAUGGUAAAACACUAAGGCAUAUUUCAAACUACAUUAUAAGGUAUUUGAUUAGAAAAUUAAAUAAAUAAAACAACAUAACAUAAAAUACAAAAAAGAAAAAAAAAACAAACUGAAUUUGUCCAUAUGCAACAAUAUGCAAUUGUUAGCCAUGAAUCCCAGUUUUGUCAGUUUCCAGUAUUAAUAAUUAAGCAUGAUUUUAUGAACUAGACCAGCAUUCUAAUAAUUCUAGAUUGAGGGGCAUGGAUGUCACAUUUGUAUUCCAUCAUGUGCAACUAACAUCACAUUGAAAUAAUAUCCACUAAAGCAAGUUAAGACCCAGUAUAUCAUAUUAAAUUUUUUCUACCAUGAAUAUAAGAUUAAUAAAAAUGCAGAUGGAAAUGCAAUACUUCUUUAUAUGACAUAAUGAAGGGAACCAAAUACAAGGACUCCCCAUUCCAGAUGCAAAAAGCCAAGUUACAACCUUUACCAAAUAAAGAGAUCCACCAUAAGUUCAUUUUUAGACAUGCUAUAGUUGAAUAUUCUAUCCAUAAGUGAUCAAAAGUCAAUUCAGAUGGGAAUAACAGCCACAAUGCUGGGAAGGUCAAUAACAAAAGCAUUGACUUGAAUGUUGGCAGUGUCAUUUACACUGGCCAUAAGAACCAAAGGUACAAAAUGCUGGGAAGGUCAAGAAAUUUCCUAAUAUUUCUUACUAGUCCAGCCCGUGCACAGGAUACAAAAUCUGUUUUUUUUUUCUAAAAAAAUAAAAUAAAAUAAGAUGCUAUUUGGUAGUUUGAUCAUGAUUUGCAGGCAAAGGUUGUGUUUUUCAACCUGGCUCAAAAAUCAUGGAUUUAGGGUUCGUGAAAUUUAAAUCCAAUAGCACAAAAGCAAAAAGACCCCUAUAACAGAUCCAGAAAACACAGGUAGCAAAAAAAAAAACAAGUUUUUGGUUUUCCUUGGGGAUUUUGCAUGGAUUUUCUCGGCAAUCAAACGAGGAUGAAUUUUCCCGGAAAUCGAAUGGGGGAUGGAUUUUCUUGGGAAUCAAACACGGGUUUUGCAAAGAGAAAACACAGGGAACAAAAAAAAAAAAAGCAAAUUUUUUUUUCCUUGGGGGUUUUGCAUGGAUUUUCUCGGAAAUCAAAUGAGGAUGAAUUUUCUUGAAAAUCAAAUAGGGGAUAGAUUUUCUUGGGAAUCAAACGGGGGUUUUGCAAAAAGAAAACAUAGGGAGCAAAAAAAAAGCAAUUUUUUUGGUUUUUCUUGGGGGUUUUGCAUGGAUUUUCUUAGAAAUCAAACGAGGAUGAAUUUUCUUGGGAAUCAAACGAGGGUUUUGCAAAGAGAAAAUACAGGGAGCAAAAAAAAAGGCAAUUUUUUUGGUUUUCCUUAGGGGUUUUGCAUGGAUUUUCUCGGAAAUCAAAUGGGGGAUGGAUUUUCUUGGGAAUCAAACGGGGUUUUGCGAAAAGAAAACACAGGGAACAAAAACAAAAGCAAUUUUUUUUUUUGUUUUCCUUGGGGUUUUGCAUGGAUUUUCUCGGAAAUCAAACAAGAAUGAGUUUUCCUAAAAAUCGAAUGGGGGAUGGAUUUUCUUGGGAAUCAAACGGGGAUUGCAAAAAAAAAAAAAAAACCAAUAAUAAUAUGACCAGAUUAGUACCUGCGAGGAUUGAGAGUGGUAGAGAAAAAUAGGGCGGAUUCUCUCGUCUGGAGGGCAACUUCAGAAAAGGGCUUCUUGAUGCCCGAGGCUUGUGAGAGAAGCGGGUAGCCAAUUUUAGAUUUAGUAGAGAUAAAAAAAAAAUAAAAAAUAAUAAAAAUGAAAGAAAUUAUGAGAACAAUUUUCCUCCCUCUAUAUAAAUAAUUAUUAAUUAUCCAUCUUUAUUUAAUCAUAUGGACGAUAUUUUAUGAAUUAAAAUUAAUUUGAUAAAAUAAAUUAUUAAUAAUUUUAAUUAUUUAAAUAAAUUAAUGUUAAUAGAAAAAGUUGUUACCACAUAUUUUUAAUAAAAUUUUAGAAAUUAAAUCUUAAAUAAAAUAUUUUAUAUAAAUUAAUUUAAUUUUUCAUUUAAAAUGUAAUAAAACUUGUUUUAAUAAAAAAAUUUUAAAAUAAAUAUUAUCUUCAACAAGAUGGGCUCCUUUCAUCUAACAAUAUGAUGAAACCACAUCAAUCUUCAUUUUGAUACUAAAACUAUUGCAAUGUCAUAUGUAUUACAUUUAUGUAUAAAUUAUUUUUAUGCAAUAAAAUCACAUAUUUCUUAACUUAAUUCUAACUUUAUACACUUUCAAAAUUCAUAUUUAUUAUUCUUAAAAUUCAAAUAUUGAAUCUAUCGAUAUAUCUCUAUCUGUCAAUAUUUUUAUUUUUUAUCAUAUUUAUGUCAAUUAUAUUUAUAAAAUAACUUUAAAAUAUGAAUUCUUGCUUAUUUUAUCAUUUUUUGGAGUUUUUUCAAGCAUUCCUCCUAAAAAUUUUAAAUAAUUUUCGCUCUACCGAUAUUUAUGAAAAAAUAUCUACCAAUAUUUUUUAUAUAUCCGUAAAAUCGAAGUACCGAUAUUUUCAUAACUAUCAAUAUUUUCAUCCUUGAUUUAGAGAAAAAAGUUUCAAACCCUAAGCUCUCAAAAUGAAUAUCGGGUUUUGAGAAAAUGAGGAGUGUUCUUUGUAAAUACCACGGGAAACCUUGAUAGGUAAUUAUAACAUGAUAUCUUGACUUAUAAUCCAUAGGUCAUUUAAGAUCAUUUUACUAGAAUUAAAAUGGUAUAUAUGUUUAAAAUCAUACCUUGACUUUUGAUUUUAUGUCAAGCUAGCCACAUUAUAUAAGUACAUUGACGUAUGAACAUAUUAACUAUAUAUUGACUUAUAAAUUAUCUGUCAAUCUUCUAUUAUAUAAGUCAUGAAAGAAUUCAACAAAAUUUUAUAUAUGUCAUUAUUGGUUUAAACAAGUUGUAUAUGUCAUAGUUAUUCAUUUAAAUAGGCAAUAUUGACACAUAUCACCUUAAGUCAAGAUAAUAUAUGUCAACAAUGACCUUUUUUCUUGUAGUGCGAGUAAGGUUCUAUUUCAUCAAGUGCAUAAACUCGUACACAAACAGCAUUGUGGAAACAACUUCAGAAUCUAUAAGUUGAAGUACCAAGUAUAAUGGCUCAUACAAUGAAACUAUAUUUGCCACUUUAUCCCAAUACGCAUGGUCAAACAAUAAUUGCUUCAAAUUUCAUCCAAUUUUUGUCCAACUAAGCUUAUUUUGUGCCCAUUCUUCACUCAUAAACAAUUUUUUUUUUUAAAUCAACCUUUUUUUUAAAAGAAGACUAUCAAGAGCAAUAUAAUUGGUAGCAAACCUUGUAGCUCUUGGUCGAACAAUGUCUCCACCACAAUACUUUCUCAUUUGUGCAAGUAACCAACCAUGGUUGUAAAUGAAGUUGGUUAUCUUGCGAGCAUUAUUUAUCACAUCUAUAACACUGGGUCUUUUAUCAAUAUCUUCAAAGAUUAAGUCAAUGCAGUGUUCCACACACAAAGUAUAAUAUAAGUUAAACUUCUUCAUCAAUAGUUUCCCUGCUUUCAUGGAUGCCGACCCAUUAUCUGUGACAAUUUGGACCACAUUUUCUCGAUCGACUUCUUUGAUAACAGUCUUUAAUAACUCGUAUAUAUACUUAUGGUCUUUGAUAUUAUUCGAUACAUCGACUGACUUAAGGAACACCAUGGUCCCUUUUGAAUAAACCAUGAAAUUAAUAAUACUUAAUUUCAUGGGCCCUGUCCAUCCAUCUGAUAUUAUUAUGCACCUAUAUGUCUUCCAUUUUUCUCUUUGUUGGUUCACAUAAACUUCCAUUUCUUUGUACUCCAUUUCCAAGUACUAGUUCUUUAUUUCAUAUGGAGAUGGAGGUUCGAUUCCCAUUCCUACAAUUCAUAUAUAAUAAAUAUGUAAAACAUGUCGCAAAAGACUAUACUUACUAAAAGUCUAAAACAAUAUAACAAUUCAAAAAUUAGUAAUUACCUGCUUGUUGUGCACUAAUAAUCAUAUUCUUAAAGUGAUGAGACUUUGCUUUUAGGGGUGCGACACUCUCAUAAAUGAAGAAUUUUCUGAUUAAGCGUCCCAUCAUUUCUUUAAUUGAACCACCUUUCAACAUAUUUUUGAUAUUUUUUGUCUUGCUGCAGAAGACUUGUAGAGCAAAAGGCAAUAGGGGGUGAUUGGUUCUAAUGUUGCAUACUUUGUGAUUUCCGCAUCAUUGUCAGUGUACCACUAGGUUGUGAAGACUCCCAUUUUAUGAUUACUUCCUACAAUAUUCUCAUAUUGUUGAUGCUCCCAUUCAAUUGCUUUUGAGGCAUGAACUGUAGAUCGAUUUGCAUCCCGCUCAUCUGGGUGCAUAUCCGUUGGAUACAUAUACACAUCUUCAUCCUCAACAUAUUCAUCAUCAUCAUCAUCUUUGUCUAUCAAAUGUGUAUCAUUGGCCCCCAUUGUACCACAUAAUUGAGCACAAAUCUCUUGAAUAUCUACAACUUUCUUUGCUUUUGCUUUAUAUUUGUUAUGCACCAUCAAUCGUAUCUUUUCUUUCACUUUGGGAGGCACUCUCGGACACUUUUUAGUGUUGUUAUGCAGGUCGUUAUGUGUUAAAUGGAACUUAAAUCGUAUGAUGCCUCCACUUUUCAUCAACAACCCAUAGAAAUUACAAAUUGUCUCAUUUAUGUUCCCCUAUACUAGUGAACAAUACUUCCAAGCUGGAUCUUACCUUGGCAUGGGAGAACGACCUCUACUAGCCAUGCUAAAUCUAUUGCAAAAAAAAAAAAAAAAAACCACCUGAAUGUGAUUUCAAUGUAAACAAAAAGUUAAGUAAACAUUUAAAUUUAACAUGUAGCAAUGGAAUGUCAAAAGAAAUUUAAAUAAUCAUGUAAAAUGAGCAUAUUCCAAAUAUACUAAUUUAUGUCAAUAGCUAAAUUAAUUAAAUAAUUUAGCUAAGUUAGUUUACUUAAUCUAAAUCUAUGAGAAAUUUACAAAAUAUACUAAUUAAUUAUAAUUGAAUGUGAAAAUAAAAUAAAAUAAUCAUUUAAUAUGGAAUUUUUUUUUAAUCUAAAUCUAAUUCUAUGAAAAAUUUACUAAAUAUAAAAAUUAACUAUAAUUGAAUGUGAAAACAAAUCACAGUAAUCAUAAAAAAUGAACAUAUUUGAUAUUUCAAAUAUACUAGUUCAUGUUAAUUAAAUAAUUUAGCUAAGUUAAUUUUUUGAAUCUAAAUCUAAGUCUAUGAAAAAUUUACUAAAUAUAAAAAUUAACUAUAAUUGAAUUUUAAAAUAAAUCACAAUAAUCAUAAAAAAAAUAAACAUAUUUGAUAUUCCAAAUAUACUAGUUCAUGUUAAUUAAAUUAAUUAAAUAAUUUAAUUAAGUUAACUAGUUGAAUCUAAUUCUAACUAUAUUGAAUGUGAAAAUAAAAUUAAAUAAUAAUCUAAAAUAAACAAAUCCAUCUAUAAUUAAAUAAUCAAAUUAACCUAAGUUAACUCAAUAAAAAUAUACAAAUUAAUUACAAUUUAAAACAAACAUACCUUAAAAUAAUUGAAUAAUUGAACAGCCUUAGAAAAAUUUGGAGUAAUGAGAGAGCAAAUGAAAAAUGAAAUCAAAGGUGGAUGAAAUAGAAGCAAAAUGGGCUAUCUAUAGGAAAAUUUUGGGCCAAAAUAGCCGUUGAAAGAUGAUUUUAUUUUUGAAAAACAAUUUUGGCCGUUGGAUCAAAAUAUGGGUAAAAUCUUACCAUUGGAUCUUGAUUUUAUUGUUGGAAUCUCAUCCCAACCGUUGGAUCAAACCUAAAUUCAAUUCAGGGGGUUGGAUGGAUGACAGUUGGAGGCAAGCAUGGCGAAUGUGAUAUGGGCCGUUAGAUCAAGCUUGAGAGGGGUUAUUUAUUGCCAAAAAAUCGGUGAUUUAUUGCCUUUUGUCGAUAAAUUGAUGAUAUUUUGUCGAUUUUUCUCCCCAUCGAUAAAUCUCCACAAAAUAUUGUGUUGUCAACCAUUGAUACACGUUAUAUCAGUAAUAUAUCGCUGAUAUAUCCCAACAUUUUCUUCCAUGGUUAAAACCAAUAAACUCUUAUUUGAUUCUUGGAUUGGUUAUAAACCAACCUAGCUAAAUGUAUCUAUCCCUAAUUAACUUUGUGUUCUUGUCCUAGAAUAAUAAAUCCUUUAGGUUGCCCCAUAUACUCUUAAUUUAAAUAACCAUUCAAGGAAAGAUAAUCUUAACAUCCAUUUGAUAGAUUUCUAGACUCCAUAUUGAAGCUAGUAAUAUCAAAUUUCUAUCUAAUGUUAUCUAACUAAAGCAUAAAUAUCAAAUUACUUAAACCCCUUUUAUCUACUUAAUCCAUUAAUGUAUGCAAUAUUUCUUUUGAACUUUUUUCUACUAAAUAAACUAUAAAUUCAUGGAUAAAAUAUUUCUCUAUUUAACUCCUACCAUAUCACCUUGUUUCAUUGCCUUUUAUUGUUAGAUUUUCCAUUUGAAACAUUUUUUUUCUUUUGAAAACUAUUUGCUCCAUUGUACUUUGAAUCUUUUAUGAUAAAAGAUUUAAAAACUUACAACUUUCGUUGAUUUAGUAAUUGUAUUAUAUUUCAAGUCCAAGAAAUAUAAUUGUGAACUCGCAUUUUUCAUGGAUGUCUCACUUGUUGGUGAGAUUUGCUUUUAUUGUUUUUUUUUUUUUUUUUUGAAAAGUUGGAGUCGUCACUUAUUUUUAAAAGAAAACAAAAUAAUAAAUAAAGCCCUAGUAUUACUCAUUUUUUAAAGAAAAGAUGUGUUAGCAACUGAGUUCCAAUCUAGAGGUUAGGUUACCUAUUGGAAAGAUACCAUAGGGUAACACCCCUUUAAGUCUUAAAAAGGUUUCUACUAAGCACAUAAAAAAGAAUUAUGACAAUUAAUUAAUUAACCAUGAAUACAAAAAAAUAAAAAAGAAUAAUACAAGUACAUGGAAUAAUGCAAAAGCAAAUUAUAAGGAUAUGCAUAAAUGAUACAUGAGAAAAGCACAAAAUAAUUUAUUAGAAAGAUUUUAUUACUUCAAAUAUCAUAAUACAAUUUCCAAAAAUUUUCAAAGAAUUCAUUUAUUUUAACAACAAUUUCAAAUUAGUUAUUUGAAUUUAUUUCUUCACAAGGUUCAAUUUGUUACAAAAGAUUUGAUUUGAUUUACAAGAAAUGAUUUGUGUUUACCUUAUUUGGAAGAGGGGUGAAUCUUACUAAUUUAUUUUAAAAAGUAUUUUGAUUCAAUUUUUAUUUGUUUUUUAUUUAAAAAAAAAAAUCUACGAACUUAAAGAGAGAUAUUUACAAGUUUAUAAGAAGGAAUUCAACCCAAUUUUAUUAAUUUUUUUUCCUAGAAAAAGAUUCUUUAUUACUAAUUUAUAUAGACAAAGAAUUUCACAAAUUUGUUCCCAAGGAUUCCAAUUUUAUUAAGAAAGAAUUUUGGAUUUCAUCUAGUAAGAGAUUAGUUUACCAAUUUAUUAAGAAAAGGUCUUUCAGUUCGAUUAAAAGGUUUACUCAUUCUAUUCUUAUUAAAAAAGAAAAAAAAUCUUUAAAACUUCUAUUUAUAAAAAUUACUUUAAAUCUCAUUCUUAUCAAGAAAAUAGAGUUAUAUUUAAAAGUCAAUUUUGGAUGAUUUUAUUGAAGUUAACUUUUUGGACAAUUUUAUUUAAAAAUCAAUUUUCUAGAAAAUUUUGUUAAACAAAUGAAUUUCUAGAGAGAUUGUUAUUAAAAACCAUUGUUUGAAUUUUUACUAAAAUUUUUUUCUAGAUUCCUCUAAAAACAUCUAAUGGAACUUUCUAUUAAGAAAACUCUAUUUUAUUAAAAAUAAUAUUUUUUGAACUGUUAUUUCAUUAAAACAAGAUUCCUAGACUAUUUCAUUUUAAUUUUUAUUUUAUUUUAUUUGAAAAAAGAUUUCUGAACCUUUUAUUUAAUUUAAAAUUCUGAACUGUUUCAUUUAUUAAAACAAAAUUUUUGGACUAUUUUAUCUAAAAAAGAUGUCUAAAACCUAUUUUUAUUAAAAGAAAAUUUUGGGUCCCUUUUUCUUAUUUAAUAAAAAUAUUUUAUUGGACCUAUUUUAUUUUAUUUUUGAGAAAAAGUUCUUUCGGUAACUUAAUUUAUUAAAAUCUAAAAUUUUGGACAGCCUUAUUAAAUAAAUAAACAACGUAAAUAUAUGCAUAACCAAAUUAACAAAAAAUGUGAAAUGAGGUAUGAAAAAUAUAAACAAACAUAAACAUGUACAAAUAUUAACACGAACAAAUAACUUAAAAAAAAUAAUAUAUGUAUGGAAUAUUUACAAAGAAUAGAAAACCUAAACAAAUAUAAAUAUUUAUAGUGAACAAAAAACUCUAAACAAACCCAUAUGGACAAAGAAAUUAUGAAUAGAAAACUACAAAUAAAUGAUAUAUGAACAUAAUAUGUACAAAACUAAAAGGAAAUGGAAAAUAAAUCAAAUAUUCAACUCUGUAUACAACUAAUAAAUAUAUACAAAAUGGUAUUUACAAAAGCUAAUAGAAAUUAAACUAAAUGGAAGUGGGGAAAGAAAAUGUGUACCCAAACAAGCCUACAACCAGUUCAAUACUCUCAUUCUGCCUAAGGUUUCAUGCCUUAUUUAUAGCCUUCUUGAACCUUUUUUUUUUCCCAUGAAAUUCAGCUCUCCACUCGUCAAAAAUCCAUGUAGCCAAAAGUCUCAAAAAAUGGCCCCAUGCAUAACUAUUAAUAAAGCCCAAAGUAAAUAUCCAAAAAUGUGUAAAGCCAAAAACAAAUAUUCAAGCCCAAAGAUGAAAUAAUGAUCCCAAACCCAAAUAAAAAAUCCUAACAAAAAUAUCAACAAUCUAAAACCAUAAGGCCCAAACUUAAUUAAAAUCAAACCCAAAACAAAACAUCCAAGAACCAACAUGCCCAAGUCUAAAGUCCACAAACAAAAUCCAAAAUCCAAAUAUCAAUAAAUCUAAGUUAAACAAAUCAAAACCAAAAUUAUAAAGCAAACUUAAGAUCAACAUCUAAUAUGCAAAUUCCAAGCGAAACAAAUAUCUAAAGCCCAAACAAGCAAACUCAACAAUGAAGAACAAUAACUGUAGGAAUAAAAAAAAAAAAUGAUCAAAGAAAUAAAAAAUGAAAAAAAGCAUCUAACCCGUUUCUUAAAUGUAAUGUGGAAUGAGGGACAAGGGGAAAGAAUGAGAUAAUAAUAAUAAUAAUAAUAAUAAUAAUAAUAAUAAAUAAAUAAAUAAAUAGACAAAUAAAAGAAAGUAAAGAAAAUAGAGAAGUAAAGAGAGAAAAGAGAACUCCAACCAACAAUGGCUUGUCGAUGGUGACUAUCUAGUGGUAAGAAUGGUGAGUAUGGGGCAGCCAUGGUUAUGGACCUUCAAGAUGAGACAGAGAAAAAAUGGUAAGAAGAAGAAAAAUGAAAGGAAAAGAAAAAAGAAAAGGGAAAAAUGAGGGAGGUAGGUGAUAGCUAGAGAUGGGUUUGGGUGAGGAGGUAGGUAAAGAUAAGAGAGAAAAAGAAAGAAAACCAAAAAUGAAGGAAAAAGAAAUAAACAAAGAAAAUGGAAGGAAAAGGGAAAAAAAAAAAAAAAAAAAAGGAAAGGAGGCUCUAUAAUUGCAUGUGAGUGGAAGAAAAAAAAUUGGGUGAAAACCAAGAAAGGAGAAAAAAAGUAAAAAUCAAAUCAAAUAAAUAAAUAAUAAUAAUUAAUAAAAUAAUAAAAUAAAAUAAAAUAAAAAGUGAGAAUGGGCUUAGGGCAAAAUUUAGGAUUUACAAAUAUGCCCCUCUUUAAAAGAGUUCACAAGUGAAGUGUAUAAACCAACUAAACGAAAUGGGCUCUACUAAAGUACUAAAAAGAUCACCAAAUUUUUCCUUGUAAUUAAGACACAGGCUCUCUAAGGUUAUGAAAUGUGCUCAUUGAUCUACUAGUAGAGAAAUAUGCAAUAUCUAUGUGGAUCUUAAGGAAGACUCUUUUGAAUAGGGUAGUGCCAAUAUCUAUGUGAAACACUAAUGACCUUGUUGUCCAAAGGGGGAAUGAACGAGUGAACAAGAGAAGGAAGAAGAAAAGAUAGGAAACUAAUGAUUAAAGAAAAUACUCAAGACUAAUAAAAUGAAAAUGAAAAGAGGUCGAGUAGUCAAGGCAUGGACACUAGAGGAAACAAAAAGAAGAUUGAACAUUUGGGGUAAGACUUUAAAAAAAAAGUUGGAUAAUUAAGACCCGACUCUAGGAAAACAUGAAAAUGUAGGACAAUCAAGGUAGCUCUAGGAAAACAUGAAAAGGUUGGAUAGUCAAAGCAUGACACUAAUAAAGACAAAAAGAGACCGAAUAGUUAGGGCAUGAUACUAAGAAAGCAUAAAAGAUGUUGGAUAGUUAGGGCAUGACAUUAACAGAAAAACAUAAAAAAAGUCGAAUAAUUAGGGUGUGACACUAGCAAAAACAUAAAAAAGUUAGACAAUUUGGGUGUGACAGUAAGAAAACAUAAGGAGGUUAGAAAGUUAGUGUGUGAUACUAAAUAGAAACACAAAGAAGUUAGAUAAUCAAGAAACAACACUAAAAGAAACCUAAAAAGGUUGGACAAUCAGGGCACAACACUAAAAAAAUAUAGAGAAAGAUCAGACAAUCGAAGUACAACAAUGAGAGAAGCAUAAGAAGGCCUGACAAUUUAGGCACAACGCUAAAAAAGAAACAUAAAGAAGCUGGACAGUUAGAGUGCAACACUAAGAGGAACAUAAAAAGGAGGUCAAACAGUCAAGGUACAAUACUAAAAAAAAAAAUACAUGAAAGCCAGACAGCUAGGGUGCAACAAUGGGAAAAACAUAAGAAGGUUGGACAGUUAGGGCUUCACACUAACAAUGACACAGAAAGGCUAGCCAAUUGGGGCACGACAAUGGGAGAAACAUAAAAAGGUCAAAUAGUCUAAGUGUGACACAAAAGAGACAUAGAAAGGUUCACUAGUCAGGGUGUGACACUAAAAAAAGACAUGAAAGGCUAGACAGUUGGUGAGUAACAUUAAAAAAAAAAAGGCAUAAAAAUGUUGGAUAGCUUGGAUGUGACACUAAAAAAAGACAUAAGAGAGUGGGCAAUUGAAACAUGAUAAUGGACGAAAUAUAAGAAGGUCAGACAAUUAGUGCAUGACAUUUUAAAAAAGACAGAAAAGUUAGACAUUUCAAGCAUAAUGCUAAAAAAACAUGAAAGGUCAAACAAUCAAGGUACAACUAUAAUAAGAGACAUAAAAAGGUCAGAUAGUCGUAGGAUGACACUAACAAGAGACAUAAAAAGGUUAGACAACCAUGAGGCAACUCUAGGAAAACAUAAAAGAGGUCAAACAGUUAAAAUGCAACACUAGAAAAAAAAUAUAAAAAGGUUGAAUAGUUAGAGUAUGAUUUUAACAGGAGACAUAAAAAGAGGUUGGACAGUUAGGGUGUAGUAUUAAGAAAACAUAAAAGAUGUUGGACAAUUAGGGCAUGACAUUAAUAUAAAAACAUAAAAAGCUUGGACAAUUAGGGUGUAGUACUAAUAAAGACAUAAAAUGAUAAAGAGUGGGGUGCAACACUAAUAGAAACUUAAAAAUGGGUUAGACUUUGAUAGUAAGGCAUAGUUAUGGUGACUGAAAAGUGACUAAGAUAAUACUCAAAUGUGGCUCUUAGCCAAAUGAUGAUCCAAAGGCGUAGCUCGAGGCUAGAGAGUGACCAAGAAGAGAAUUUAAUUGUAAAGUUCAAGGCUCAUAUAAAAUGAUAAAAAGAUAAUCUAAGAGUAAUGCUCAGGCUAAUCAAUGAGCAAGAUAGAUAACAGAAGAAGAGAAAACCUAAAGAUACAUGAAGAUUCGAUUGAGAGUCGAAUGAUGACCUAAAAAUGUGGCUUGAGGUUAAUUGAGUGUGAGAUAAAGAUGACUUAAUAGUGCAACUCAAGGUUUGAAUGAUGAUUAAGAAAAUACCAAAGAUGUGGUCACAAAGACUAAAAGACAACUAACAUAAGAUUAAAAAGGGAAAAGAUAAAAUAUACAAAAUGUUAUAUAUCAACGGCAUACUCCAACAUACACGUGUCGACAAUAAGAUGAAAAUGUCUAAUCCUUAAUUAGAAAAGCUAAAUAGGACUAUUUGUCUUAAGACCAUGCUAUCAAAAUAGAACCAAAUGAUGGACAAAAACAAAGCUAACCAAAGCUCUGAAUCUAAAUAUGCACCAAGUCAUGUCAUGAAAUGUAGACUAUCAAAUGAAAAAUGCCACAAACAAUCGACAGUCUUUUGAGUCUUGCCAUCAUGGAAGAUGUUAAAUUCAGUAUCCAAAAGGCAUAUGAAAGUUCAACUAGAAAACUCAUUAUUCUUCUACAUCCUUCUAUGAUUUGGAGAGCAAAAUAAGUUUAUAUAUCAUGAUGGAAUGAGAUGGGUGGAUUGAAUACAAGAUAUAAGUGUGAAAAUAGUAAAAGAGAAGUGUUUGGGUAUGAAAUAAAUAUAAGAGAGUAUCUAAAUCAGACCUGGUAUGGUGAGAAGACAAAAUCUAAGGCAUCAUCAUCUUUAUAACCCAUUAAAAACCUCAAUCUAGUGGUCAAAUUCCAAUGGCCUAAAAAAUCAAUAAGAUUGUCACGCCCUAAUAUAAAUAUUUCCUUAAAUGGCUAUGCCCCAACAUAAAAGACAUCAAAUCGAUAUCUCUCAACUUGAUCACCUUUAUGAGAAUGAUUAUGACAUAAUGUAUGGAGUUAAAUAGAGUAGUUAUGCUUAGUAUAAAAUAUUAUUUUUUUAAAAAAAAUCAAUCACAAACUAAAUGGGUUAUGCCCCAACAUGAAUAUAUCAAGUUAAAAUGGGUAAGGCCCAAACAAAUUAAUCAUCUUCAAAAUGAAACACUAAUAAGAGAAGUAUGGUCCAGUAUAUAAGGUAAUAUUUAAAAUGUUCAAACCUUAGUGCAAUGUAAUCUUUAGAAUGGUUAUGUCAUAACAUACACGAUCUCAUCAAGAUAGACCUCUACUCCCUAAAUUAUUUUCAUACUAUAAUGUGAAGAGAGUAUUGAAUCUCCUUUAGAAGACGAAUAUGCCCAGUGUAGGGAAUCAAGCAUAGCGGUUAUGCCUUACUAUAAAUUGUCAAAUCAAAAUCAAACUCUACCAUAUAUCUCAAAAUGGAUAUAUGUUGAUUUGAAGCCAAGUGACUUCUAAUCCAUCAUGCUCCAUGAGAAGGAAUAAAGUGGCUAUGCCUUAGUAUAAGAUAUCAUCUCAAAAAUCAAUAAUUGAUGAGAGGGCUACGCCUUAGUAUAAACUCUCUAAGGUGUUUAUGCCCUAGAAUAAAUCGUUAAAUGAAAAAUAAAACUAUAUCCUAGAUCUAAAAAAAGGAUAUAUAUCAAUAUAAAUCCAAGCGAUAACUAAUCCAUCAUGCUUCAUGAGAAAGAAUAAAGUGGUUAUGCCCUAGUAUAAGUUAUCAUCUCGAAAAUCAACCAUCAAUGAGAGGGCUAUACACCAAUAUAAACUCUCUAAGGUGGCUAUGCCUUAGUGUAAAUUGUCAAAUCAAAAUCAAACUCUAUCCUAAAUCUAAAAAAUGGAUAUAUGUUGAUAUGAAUCUAGGUGACUCUUUAUCUAUCAUGCUCCAUGAGAAGGAAUGAAGUGACUAUGCCCUAAUAUAAGCUAUCAUCUAAAAAAUUAAUCAGCAAUAGGAGGGCUACACCCUAGUAUGAACUCCCUAAGAUGGCUAUGCCCCAACGUAAAUUGUUAAAUCAAAAUCAAACUUUAUCCCAUAUCUCAAAAAAGGAUAUAUAUCGAUAUGAAUCCGAGUGACUCUUGAUCUAUCAUGCUCCAUGAGAGAGAUUGAAAUGGCUAUACCCUAGUAUAAGCCAUCAUAUAAAAAAUCAAUCAUCGAUGAGAGGGUUAUGCGCUAGUGUAAACCUUCUCACAGUUUCUCAUCAAUCAUGCUCCAAGUAAUUUCCAACCAAUCUCAAAUGCUACCCAUGUGUGAGUUAUCAAGUAUAAUACAUGAGUCAUGGCCGUCAAGGUGGUCUUACGACCUAGGAUAGGAUGUAAUGUAGGCUAAGGCAAUAGCGUAAAAGAAACGAAGGGAAACUAAACUCAAUAAUCCUAAUGAUAUGAUCCCAAUGCCUUUGGCAUACACAAUGUAAUAGAUAAAGAAACUCAAAGAUUGUUGAGCUCAUAGAUGCUCUAUGAUAUAAAUAACUGAAUGAAUGAAAAUAUGAAAUUAUUGAAAAGAAAAACAAACCCAAGAUAAAAACUACACAAAAACCAACCAUCCACAUGAAUGAGUUAGAGAAAUGGAAAGGACGAGUGUGAGACUCUAAAUUAGGCUCAAAUGAAUCAAAACAAUAGUACAAUGGCUAGAGAUAAAGUAGGCAAUGUCAACAAAUGAUAACUCAAUAUACAAGUAAAAAAAGAACAUAAGCAAGAUGAAUGAGAAUAAAACUCCAAAUAAAAAGUGUAAUUGAGUACAAGAGAAUAAAAAUGUCAUAGUUAGGGAUAAAACCCACAACUCAAUCAUAAUUCAAUGUAUAAAUGAGAUAGAUAUAUAUAAUAAGAUGAUCAAAACUAUCACACAAGCCGUUAACAAAGACUAACAUUAUAUUUUUUUUUCUUUUUCUUUUUAAUAAUAAUUGAACCAAUGAAUUAAAACAAUCAUGUACAAGAAUCCCAAGGCAACCUAUACAAAUCUUGAUAUAUAUAUAUAUAUAUAUAAGAAGACUAACCCGUAUGUACAUAUAUGAACUCAUAAUGACAGAAUAAUGAACAAUAACUCAAAUGGGUAAGUAUUAAGAAGAGGUAUGGAUGAAAGAAUGCAAAUGAUCAAGACGAAAAUAAUGAAUACAAAGAUGAAUCACUUGAGGAGCUCACAACCUAUGUGAUUACUACUCAAAAAGUGCUAUUUUGUAGCUUGUAAUUAAACUCUUUUAAACACUCUUGAGUAGUAAUUAUUACCUUUUAACUCAAUUGACAUGUUAAGGACCCUUGGAAUCAUUUCUAAUCAAAUUGUGUUAAGUUUUGGUGUUUUUGAUAGCUUUUUGCUCACCAAAGCAAUCCAAGAAUGAGGGAGAGCUGUAUAUAGUUCAUGGCAAAGCUUUUGGAAGCUCAAAUUCAUGACGAACCAAGCUUUGGAGCUCCAUAGCCCUUUGCCAAAGUCGUUCAAAGUAUGCAAGGAAAGAACAAUGGAGAGAGGAAAAACAGAGUGAAGAAAACAGAGGACAGCAGCUUCAGUAUUCUUUCACACUUUUGGAGCACUUCCCGAAGUCCAUUUUCUACAUGAUAUAUACCAUUUCAAAGCUCAUGAAGUAAAGAAUUCAACGCUUCAAACUGUGUAUGAUUUGGAGCUGAAAUGAGGAAGAUAUGGCCUUCGCAAGACAACUGCAUCCAGCUGAAGGACAAAUUCGCAUCUUGCGAAUUUGGAACUCCAACGUGCGAAAGUGAUUUUGCAACUUGCGAACUUGGAGCUCAACGUGCGAAAAUGGAUUCUAAGUUGCGAAAUCAACUUGUGAAAUUUUCGCAAGUCACCAUACAACGUGCGAAAAUGGGAUAUUUGUGCACCGACUCUUUUAGAUCUUUUCUUCAGAUAUUUUUGUAUAAAUUUCCAUUCUUCUCCUUGUAAUCCACGAACCAUAAGAUUUCUUAGCUAGGAAGGUUGGAAAAAAUUCUCUAUAUAUAUUCCCUUGCAUCCAUUGUAAUAAAUAUCGAUCAAUAUAUAGAAGUAUGUAGAAUCGAUCAAUAUAUAGAAGUAUGUAGAAUCGAUCAAUAUAUAGAUAUUUAAAUAUAUAGACUAUACAGAGCUUUGCUCUGUUUUUCUCUCUUCUCCUGUUCUUCCCCAUUUCUAUUUUCUUAGUAGCCAAACAGCCUUUAAGGGCUUUUCCUUAGAGGAUGAUUGGCUAAAACUUUUAGUUUCUCAAAGUAUGGAUGUUAUGUGAUGACUUGGAUGCAAUCCCAUGGAAAUUUCUCGCACCUGGAAGGUAAGGUAGUCGUUUUUCAUUAAAGGUUCAUUAAUGCAAAGUUUGGUUUUUAUUUCCUUUGGACAACUUCCAACGGCCAAUACUUGAUAAGCUUUUGGAUUUCUAUCCAUUAGUUAUCUCCUACGAGCUAUUGGAAGGUGAGGUUUUCAAUUCCAAGUUUUGCAUUAAUCCGUUAGAACCAAUUUCAAUGGCCAUUGAAAGGUGAGUUUAUCACCUGGAAUGACUUUGAGUUGCCAAUAUUUGGUAAGCUUUUGGCUUUAGACCAUUAGUUAUCUCUUACGAGCCAUUCAAAGGAAGUCUAAGGUGAAUAACCAUUGAUGAAAUUCACUACCAUCUGUUUUGCCAUUUUAAAGGAUUAAAACUUGAUUUGCUAAAUCCAUACCGGUUCGGGAAGCAAGCAUCACCAUAGUUGCAACCCCAACGCGAGGAGCCUAUCCUGAGAUUUCCAAUUUGCAUAAGAGCCAGAGCAUACCUAUCUUAUAUUUGAGAAACUUGUUUUUACACCCUUUCAUUUUAGUCUUUAAUGUUAGCUUAGAUUAGUUUAAAUCUUUCUAAAACAUUUACAUCUUCUUUUAAAGCUAACAUCCAUAAGAUAAUCACCUAUUUUCCUAAUUUGAAUAUCACUAGUGUUUGCGAAAACCCAUCCCAAUGAACGAUCCUAGAACCACUAUGCUAUAGUAGCUUGGCUACUUUAGUAAUAGUAUUUAAGGUAUAAAUUUUGUUGAUACGCCUUUAAAGCUAAGCUACCAUGAGUCGAAUCACUAGGCGAUCUUAUCUAUGAGCAAAGAUGUGCCAAGAGACCCUAACCCUAGGUAUGAGAAACGAGGUAAGUGGGGUGAAAAAUUAAAAGGCUAAAUGUGCAUGACUUAAUUGGCUAGCAAAGGGUAACUUUAUACACAAAGGUGAUUAGAUAAAUAUGCUCAUGAAAUUAUGGCCACCCAUCCUUUGAUCACAACCUUAAACAUCAUGUUCUUAAACUCUCACAUGGUCAACACUAAAGAUUGGUGUCCAUUAAAAUGUAGGCAUUCCAUCAUUCUAAAAUCAUGCAUAAAUAUCCCAUUUUGGAGGCUCUAUGACAACCUCAAGAUGCUCAUCUCUACCAUAGAAUAGUCAAUGAUCUCGUGCAAUUAAUCACCCUGCUCAUCAUAAGUCACCCUUCUCACCUCAUAAAAUCAACCUCAAGUACAAAGAACAAAUAAAUAGAUUAGAACAAUGUCCAUGUAGAUGACGUUGCAUUAGCUAUGAUAAGAAGGGAUGUAAAAGUCAUGUUAUGGUGUCAAGGGGUUAAUAUUGUACAAGGAUCAAGAUAGACAGGACGUAAAGGUUAAGAUGUGAAUGAAAGUGAAUAAGGUACAACUCUUAUCACAAGACAAAUGAGCCACAGUCUUAAGCUCCCUAAGUCAGUCCUUUAGUCCUAGCUUAAGGGGCUUAAUAUCAUCUAUGAUGGGUCAGGCCUAAUGAUCAUGAUAAGUAAGUGAAUAAUGUGUCAUAUCGAAAGUUAACACGUGCACCAUAAGACACAAACAUAUAUUCAAUGAAAAAGGUCAAGUCUAAUGAUCAAUGUACAUUCAUAGUAGAAGCAAAUACUAACAGGUCAAAACACUUUAUAAGGAAUACAAACUCUAACUACACCUCAAGACUAACACAAACUCAAUAACCAAAAGGACUAGCUUUGAUGCAACAGAAAUAAAUAGUCUUACCAACUAUGACACCAUUUCACCUAGAAAACACCGACUAGGUUCCCAAAACUCUAACUAACAUGACUCAUCUAAGGAACCUAUCAAUGACCCAUAGAAUAGAAAACCUUAGACUUAGGUCUAAAAAUUUCAAAUAAACAUAUCCUAUAAUGCUACACCUGACACACAACCUAAAUGACUGACAAUACAUUUAAAAAGGUAAAUCCUCUUUAUAUACAACAUCUUAAGGUUGACAAAAUUCUAAGGAGAAGAAAACUAUACAAGAUCGACGAAUGUAUAACCUAGAAGAUUGAUUAACUGAAUCCAACUAAUGAAGUGUGAAGAGAAUGAUAAUACAACUAAUCUAUGUUGAUGGAACUCUAAUGUUGAUGCAAAAUUGUUGUUAUCAAAUUCCUAUACAUGAAUGCACCUAAGUGUGGGUAGGUGUCCUAGGUCCAAGGAUCUAAUUCUCCUUUUACAAAGUAAAAGUGGCUUUAAAAGGUAGGAUCAAAGGUACUGAGUAGGAGAAAUUGUACUCAUUACCAGUACGUAACCUUCUACAAGCCUCCAAAGAGACUAGAAGUUUCCAUGUAAGGUGGUCAUCACCUCUACACAUGCACUUCCUUAACAUCCUAGGGUGGUUUCUUAAUGAUUAAGGUUUUCUACUAGUUAGCGCAUGUUACCUUUCUCAACACACAUAUAAGAUGAUCUAAACUGUGUAGUGUGGCAUAAGUGCAUCCAAACAAUAUCUUAAACUAAAGCAAAAAAGUAAACACAUUGGUCACACAUAUAUCUUGAAUCUAGUUAUGGGUUAUACAAGUCUUCAAUGAUCAAACUCCAAAUGGCGAUGAUGUGGUGACCUCCAUUGACAUGACGUUGAUGAUGUCAUGAUGCUCUCUAAGGCAUCACAAAGGUGCAACAAGAUAAGAUGAUGACAUGAAAAAAGAAAUGUGGAAUGAAAUGUUAAGGUAUGAUGAUGAGGCAAAGUGAGGUUGACAGUAAGAGUGAGAUAAUAAGUUAGGAUGCUGAUAGGAUAAGAAUAAAGUGGAAAUGAUGAUAUGGCAAUGUAGGAUGAUGUUAAGGCACUAGGGAUGUGGCAAAGUGAUGACAUGGUGAAGUAGGAUGAUGUGGCAAAGUGGGGUGAUAGUAGGGAUUAGGUGACUAAGUGGGAUGUUGAUAAAAUAAAAAUGAUGUGGCAAGGCUGAUAAUGUGGUAACCAACUCUAAGGCAAUUUCAUGGCAUUGAUGAUGUCAUGACAAUGCUCUGGGUGUUCCCAAACAUACAUUUAACCCAUAACUAGACCAUACUCCUAAUCACUAGCUUAGUUAGGAAACAAACAAGACACCAAGUCUCAUACACCAAAUAUGAGAUCAAAAGAAGAAAAUCAACCAAGGUUAGAGAGUUUGAGAUAAAGAGAUAAACAUGUGUUCUACACAAAGAAGCAAAACAUGCAUUAUGUAGAAGAAGGGUAGUCAUGCAGCAUACAAUUAUGCAAAAUAGAUAUAUACAAAUAUGAGUAGAUAUAUACAAACACAUAUAAUGACAAAAAUCAAUAUAUAGUAAGGCACGUGCAAUAUAUACAAAGUAAUCAUCAACUCAACCUCUCAUAUGCCCUAAAAUGUGUAAGCAUACAACAGAGGUACAAUGUGAGGGUAUCCACUAAUCGAUUAAUUCAACAUCACAUUUCCCCUCAACUUGAGUUCAAGCUUAACCUUCUAAACAUCCCUAGUGGAGUCACCAUUUUAUGGGCCUACAUUUUUCAUGUGCGUCCCCACUUGACGAUGAGAUACGUUUCUAUUAUGAAAAACUAUAUAUAUAUUUUUUUUAUAAAAAAAGUUGGGGUUGGAAUUGCCACUUAUUUUUGUUUAUUUUUAAAAUAGAAAACAAAAUAAGAAAUGAAGCUAUGAUGUGACUCAUUUUUUAAGGGAAAGACAUCUGGACUUGCAUUUUUCAUGUGCAUCCCUACUCGAUAGUGAGACUCGUUUUCUUAGUGAAAAUUUGAUUUUUAUAAAAUUGAGUCAUCACUUAUUUUUAUUUAUUUUUAGAAGGAAAAAUAAUAUAAGAAAUAAAACUCUAAAAAAUGACUCAUUAAUUUUGAAAAGGCGCAUCUUUGAAACAUUGAGUCUAAGUAUGAAUCAAGGUCAGGUUACCUAUUGGGAAAGUAUUACAAAGGUAGCACCCCUUUAAAGCCCUAAAAAGAAGUCUCUUCUGACUAGGUUGAGGUAAGUAUGACAAUUAAUUGAUAAAUUGUGGAUCCUAAAAAUAACAAAGGUGAUUAUAUCUAAGGCUAAACAAAAUUUUAUUCACAUUGAAACAAUCAAACCACAAAAAUCAAUCAUAUGAGAAAGGAAGACAAGCAUACCUGAACUACAACCUAAAACACUUUCAUAAAAACAUCAAAGUUAGUUUGACAAACAAUACAACAUACAACACAUGUUCCAUCUCAUUCAAGGAAUCACACACCAAUCAUAGCAUAACGAAGCAAUAUCAAAUAAGAAGAUGUUGACAUACAAAACAUAUCUAUUUACAAAACUAAGGGAUAAAAGUGUGUGCAAUGUACCUAGAUUGCAUAAAUAACUUACAAGGACUUUCCAUAAAGCUAGAGGGUGGUUAGAACAAUUAUAAUAAUAAAGAAUUGUGAUAGUGAAUACACAUGGUAUAUGUAUAGCUUAAAUGAAAUGACAAGAAUCCAAAUAAUUAUAAACUAUCACCUAGGACAUCCAUACACCUCAUUGUUAAGGCUAAACUAUGUACAAGAUAGCUUAAAAAACACCAAAAAUUAGAGAAUAGGACAAAGCACAUAGGAAAGGGUAGAAUAGUUGCAUUUACUUGAAAAACUCUAAACAAAUAUCCAGAAGUAUUACUUCAUCAUAGGAAAAAAAAAAUCAUACAACAUCCUCAUUAUGUCUAUAAUACAAUACCAAAGCCAAGAGCAAGAGAUGAAUAGUCAAUUAACUCUAGAUUAAAUAAUAAAUAAAACAUUAUAUAAAAAUUUCAUCAUGCAAACAAAUCAUAAUAUAUAUAUAUAUCUAGAAUGUGAAUUUAAUUACAAAAAUUUUCAAAGAACAUCUCCUAUAUGUCCAGCUUAUCAUCCAACUAGCCAAACAAUAUAUUGAGGCAUUGAUUAAUUCCAAUUUACAAAAGUAUAUCAAAAGGUUCAGAAUAUGAUAGAAUUUAAUAUCAUCCAUAAACUAAUUUUUUUAACCAAACUAGAAGUGCUAUAAAAUCAUACAAAAAAUCAUGCGAUAUAUUCAAAAUGUCUAAUUUACAAGAAAAAUAAUAGCAAGGCAAGAAAGUAUAUGGAUCAAUUCGAAAAACAAUCAAAGAGGCUCUCUAUUAUAAAUUAGGAUAGUGUAGUGGGUACAAUAAAGGAAAAUUAUUUUUCUUUAUUAGAAAAACGUUUUUAAAUAUUUAGUGCAUAUAAAAUAAAUUUCAAGAAGUCUAGAAUCUAGGAAAAAAGGUUAAUUUUUUUUUUCAAAGUCAUCUAGUAAUUCAAAAAUACAAAAAACAAUGAAGGUAUUUAAAAGUGGGCAAAAAUUGAACCUACCAAAAGAUUAAUUGAUAAUUUCCAUUUGAAAUAUGAUUUUUGAUCAAACAUCUAAAAUCAAGUUCAUGAAGUUCACAAUUUCAUAUAACCAUAGGAAAAAUCUUAGGAGUAUUAUAAAUUAGCCAAAUCAAAAUUUUAUUCUAGAGACGCAACAAAUCCAAAACGAUGACAAUAAAAGGUUUUUAAAAAAUAAUUUUAUGUAGAGUUUCACCAAAUCCUCAUUUGAUAUACACAAAUCUAGACUACGGAUUCCCAACCUUGCAUAAGUAUUGACAAACUCAUCAAAACUGAGAAUUAUCCUAUUUAUUUAGAAACACAAGCUUGGAUUCAUAUUCCACUCAAAAUCAAAAUUUUUUAUUGAAAAUAAAAGAAAUGUGUUAACCAAUUAAAAAAUGAUUGCAUAUUUUUAAGAAAAAGUUUUUUUUUUUUUUUCCUUUUUGACCCUAAGAAUUAUAGAAGGAGUUUUUGAAAUACAUUUCAAUAAAGAACAUUUUGAGAAAAGACUUUUUUUUUUUUAAUAGAGAAAAGUUGCAUUUUAAAACCAUAAAAUAUAAGGAUAAAAAACCAAACAAAACAAGAGAAAAUAAAAUCACAAGGUGAUAUUUUCUAGCAACCAAGCAAAGUAAGUGAGAGUAGAGGCCAAUCUUCAUGUGUUUCCAAGGGCAUAAAAAAAUCGAAUUAAAUGAAAGUUCACUAAAGCAACAAGCAAAGUAUUUUAGAUUAGAUAGACUAACAAGAUAUCGAUUCAGGAACUAAUCACUAGGAUUUUAAAAGCAUAUAAAUUAAGAUAAGGAUGAUCAAGAACUUACAUUAAUGAUUUUAAAACAAAUAUUAAAAAAACAUGGGAUCAAUUUAGCUAAGGAACUAAAAUUAUAGAAGUACCUAAACUAAUUAAAAUGACUUUGACUAAAUUAAAGUGUAUACUCUCCAUUUUGUCCUCCUAGCACAUGUCUUAUUAGGUAUUUGUCCUGUAUUUUACAACAAUUCCUUGGUGGCCUAUUACUACUCCUGUAGCCUAUCUUUUAUAAGCCACCUUGGGGACUUUGGUUGAGGGAUUUAUUUAUCCCCAUUGUGACUCUUGGCAGCCCUAAUUUAGACUCGGGUUCACUUAGACACCUUAGGAUCACUUAGGCACCUUAGGUCCACUUAGGCACCUUAGGUUCACUUAGACACCUCAGGCCCACUUAGGCACCUUAGGAUCACUUAGACACCUCAGACCCAUUAGGCACUUUAGGCUCACUUAGACACCUCAGGCCCAUUAAGCACGACCUUAGGCCCAUUUAGGUACACUUGGCCCAUUAGGAUGCACUUGGGCUCAUUUAGGCACAUUUCAACUUUUUCUAGGCCCAUUUAGGCAUGACUAGCCCAAUUAGUUUUACCAGUCUUGCUUAGGUCACCUUUCAAGUAGGGUUUCAUGGCUUGUAUGACUAGCAUGUGCUUUAUUUUCUUAUUUUAUUUUAUUUAUUUAUUUAUUAGUUUUAUUCAUUUACUUAUUCACUUUUUCGAAAAAUUGCAUGAGAAUUUAGAUUUUAGUUUUUUCUAAUUGCAUGAAUUGAUAUCUCAUAUAUAUUCAUAUAUUUACUUUACUUUAUUCAUCUAUUCAUUUUUGUAGGAAAUUGCUUGAGCUUCAUAUUUUAAUUCUAUUAACGUGUUUGAUAUCUUAGUUUUAAUUGCAUAAUUUUAAUUUUAAAUUUUAAAUUUUCAACUACAUGAUUUUUUUUAUUUUACCAUUUACUUUCUAUUUCAAAGGGGAUGAGGAAAUAAUUUCUCCUAAUGGCGUCGUUGAAGGUAUUUUCAUCAUUUGGGACGACAUAAAGCAGAGUCGUGGUUGUGGAUUUUUUAAGCUUCCUAAUAGAAAUAUGGCAGUGGUAGCAAUCAACAAUCAAUGUAUUAAGUGGAAAUUACAUGAUGAAGGGUUAUGAUUUCUGAUUUUUUAGAAAGUGGAGAAUCAGUCCAGAGGAUAGUGGCAUUUUAUUCUGAAAUAAAAUUUCCAUAGUUGGUUGUUGUAAGUGAAAAGAGUUGGAUGUAGUGUGUAUGUAGACAGAAAGUGAGGCCAAGUUCAAGCAAGAUGGGUCUGAAAAAGUUACAGGUACAAAGGAAAAAAAAUAGGCAAAGGAAGAAGAAAGGAUGGCAAACAAGUGGAUCAGUGAAAUGAGUCUCCCAACAUCAAUAGCCAAUAUCUUCGUUGCUCGCAACAUCACUACUGCCAAGGAAGCAUUAUCUCUAACUGAAUUUGAAUUGAUGGAGUUAUUGGAUGUGGGUAUGGCAUGAGUGACAUUUGCAGUGGCACACAUUAGCGAAAUUGUUUCUUCACUGAUGUAAAUUGCCCUGUUACUGAUGGAACAAAAGGUUUAGAAUGAGUGUAUGGUUGGCCAUCUUCCCACAUGCCUCAAAGGGUUGGAUGAGGCUUUAGGGGAUGGAAUCCUAUUUGGUGUUCUCAUUGAGUUGGUUGGCCCUCUCUUGGAAUUGGCAAAACCCAAUUUUGCCUUAAACUCUCACUAUUGGCUUCUCUACUGGCAAGUUAUGGAGGCUUAGAUGGUCGUGUAAUAUAUAUUGAUGUCGAUUCCAAGUUUAGUUCAAGAAAUAUGAUAGAAAUUGGGUUAAAGAGUUCCCAAGAAAUAUUACAUAUGGAAGGAAUGGCAAAGUAGAGGAUGCUGAUGGAAAAUCCAGAGUAUCCAAUGAGGACCGGCCAUUAUCAUUUUGCACGACAACUAUGAAGUCAGUAUAUCUAUGGAUUGUCAUGCCCCAAAAUGUUGCCAAGUCAAACUCUCGGUUCCUUUUAUUAAUGCAUGGAAUUAUUAUAUUUAUUAUAAAUAUCAUGUCUUUAACCUGUCACCCUCUUAUCUCAUGUUUAAAUUGGAACUAGUUAUAAACCGAAAAUAAUCUGGAUAUAAUAUUAAUUGCAUAGAAGCUAAUUUAGGUAGAAUUUUUUUAUUUCCUUUGAAUAAACCUAUCAUAAAGUAAGAAAAACACAUCAAAGGUAGCAUAAGACGGAUCAAAAGACUAUGUGUCUCAUACUUGCGUCUUUAGAUAAUAUGUUGCAAAAGCAACACAUUUCUAUUGCCAUGGUCUAUGAUAUUCUCUUUAAAGUUGCAAGGGCUAUUUUGUGAUAAAGGUAAGUCAACUAGACAAGUUGCCCUUAGGACUAUUAUGAACAUUAGGAUUCAUGUUGUCUUAGAGAUCUUACUAGAUUCCUUUAGGAUAGGUAAGAAGAUUCUUAAAGAGUAAAAUGGUGUUCAUAUGGAAGUCAAGGUUCUUUAGGUUCUUCUACUAAGAAGAAGAAGAAGAACACCAAAUAAGGAAAGUUCAAGAAAAGAAAUGAGGGAGCAAACUCAUGGAUGGUAAUUCCUUUAUGAUCAAUUAGAACACUAGAAAAGGAAUUCUUGGAGUGCCUAAGGAUAGGCAAGUACACAACAUGUUCUCGUUGUUGAACUCAUAGUGGUGGAUUUCACCAAUUGUGGUGGAUAGAGUCCGGGCCCAUUAUAAAAAAAUGAGAAGAUCACAUUGAAUUUAAGGCGGAAUCGAAUAACCUAUUGGGUAAACACAUCAAGGCACUUCGAUUAGAUUAAGGUGGUGUGUCUAGUAGGUUCAAUUCUUUCCAUAUGGAGCAUGCGAUGAUAUCCCAAUUGUGUGCACCAAGGACUCCAUUGUAAAAUGGAGUAAUGGAAAGAAGAUAUUGAACUUUGAUAGAUAUAGUGAGAUUGGUGAUUGGUUUCUCAUUACUUCCCAUAUUCUUUGAGGAUAUAUCUUAGAGACUGUGUAAUACCUCUUUUUCUAAAGAGGUGCAUUGGUUUAUAGGAUAUCUAAGAGGACUUCAAGAUUAUUACUUUAUAGUUAGGAUAAUUAAAAGGUGUUUGUUGCUACAAGCACUAGAUUUUGUUGAACAGUAUAUGAUAUGUAAUAAGGCAAACAUUGAUAUAGAUUGGAGAAUACUAUAAGAUAGUCCCACUAUAUGGAAGAUACUAUGGAUCCACUACCAACCAUUCCUACUUCUAGUACAUUGAUGCCUCAUCGUAGUGGGAGUGUUGCUAAACAACUAAACCAAUUCAUGUAUUUGGAAGAGUCGACUUUCGAGGCCAUUCUAAAGGAACAUGAGAUCGAUCCCAUAGAGUGAGAUGAAGCAAUGAGCGAAGUGGAUGCACAUCUUUGGCAAAAGGCUAUGGAGGCAGAGUUAGAAUCCUUAUGAUUAUAAUGUAGUCUAGGUUCUUGUAGAAGCACUUGAAGGGAUAAAACCCAUGGGUAUAAGUUGGUUUACUAAAUGAAUAAAGGAGUAGAUGGAAAAGUUGAGAUUUAUGUGGCUAGGUUGUAUCUAAAGGUUAUACUUUGAAGCAUUAUUUCAACUAUAGGAAACCUUUCUCCAAUAGCCAUACUCAAAUCCAUUAGAGUACUCCUAUCCAUUGCGGAGUAUCUCAUUUAUGAGAUAUUUCAAUAGGGUGUCAAGAUAGUGUUCUUAAAUGAUUAUCUUGAUAUUAGCAUCUAUAUGAUGUAACCAGAUAUUUUCAUAGCAAAGGGCCUUAUGUGUACAAGAAACUGCAGGAAAGCAUAGUGGUGUUCUAGGAUCUUGUAGGUAGAUCACAAUCUACUCAUUCAGAAUGAUGUAGGGAUAUUGUCAUCAGUCAAGAUUUGGUUGUCUACUUGGUUAUAGAUGGAAAUCUAGAAGGGGCACAAUAUAUUCUUGGGUUUAAAGUCCUCAAGGAUAACAAGAAUAGGAAAAUUGUGCUAUGUCAAGCAUAUACUCAAGUAUCUUUUUAGAAUAAAGGAUCAUGUGCUUUUGCUCCAAAUUGUUGAAAUAGUUUAGAGGGUGACGUGAUGGUUGACAAUAUACCAUUUAUGGAGAACUUGGUGGAUCCAUUCACUAAGACAUUGACAGGGAGAGUCUAUGUUGGUGAUAGGGAUAACAUAGGUUUAAUAUGAGUAUCUAGAAUGCUUUAUAGGUACGAUGCUUUGAGGGUUAGUGGAAGAAUGUUAGAAUAGAGCCCUUAAAAGCAUAACAUGAUGUAAUAAAUUUGGAAUUUUUUAUUUAUUUAAUGAUGUUCCAAUUUCACUUUUAUUUAUCCUUAUUCCAUGUAUUAUACUUUAUGAACAUUCUUGUCUACAUCUUUUGCAUUGCACAUGACUUAGGCGCAUUAGGAGUUGCAUAGAAGAUCUAAGUCAUGGAUUCCUUGUAAAUAGAUGACUUAUUCACAAUCGGAUCACGGGUCUAGGCAACCUAUUAGAGGUUGUAGUGUACCACCUCCUAAGUGGAAGGAUGGUUGAUCUUGGCUAUCAAGAUGGGUUUCCCAUGGUGAGUGCACUAGUGUACGUGCUUACACAUUGAAUAGAAUCUAUGGUGAGUCAUGACUGAAGGUUGUCAAGUAGUCAUGACCUUACCAAGCUACUUUAUUGUGUUGUCUCUCAACCUUGAGAGAAUAUUAAGCUUGUGCUAAAGUUGGCAAUGGCUUUGACCCUACGGGUGAGAUUGUAAGUUGAUCAUAUAUUUUAUAUGGAUUGGGUCACUAUUGAUAGAAGUUAGUAGCAAUAGGUAUUCUCAAUAGAGGCACCAUGUUAUCUCAUGGGAUUGAGAUAGUGUAUCCUCUCGGGUGAUCCUAAGGAGGUGUGUUCAUGGAAAUUAUGGUCAUAGUAGUAGUUCCUUAAGUAGAACAUGACAUAGGCUCUUUGAGAGCUGAGACAUGUCAGUUGAAUACAUAAUAAGAGGACCUGUAAUUCAAGGAUAGUAGAGUUAGUCUUGAAAGGUUGAUAGCUUUCACCUUGUUAGACUAUGGACACCAGUUCAUGGGAAGACUAAACACAAUGGAUAGUAGGUCACGAACCCGAGCACGUAGUGUCUCAUUGUUAUUUACAUAGGAUACUAAAGUUCAAUUGAUUCUCUAUAGUGGGAUGUUGAAUCAACUUCCAAAUUGGAUUGUGAGGGAGCCAGUACACCUAUAGAUCAUAGUGGUCCCUGUUUUGAGCUCAUAUACCUUGUUGGUGUGGAUUAUGAGGGUCGGAUUAAGUCUAGGUUCACUUUUGUGUAUAAGGGCAUUUUGGUAAUUAUGCAAGAUUGAACAAGGAUAAGUGAACAAAGUCUCUAGAUUAGGCUAAUUGAUUAAUUAGUAGGCUCUAUUGAGUUAAUUAAUCAAUUAGGACCCAUUUUAGGCUAGAUUAAGUGACCCAAGCCCAUUUGAGCUUAAGUCACUAAAGCCCAAUUAGGACCCUAUAAAUAUCCCAUAGGGGUUAGAGUUUCCAUAAUUUUUGUCUUCCACCAUCUAGAGAGAAAGGGAGCCAUAGCCUUCACCCUCUUUUCCUCCCCACCAAAAGUGUACCAAGAACAAGGUUGAGUCAUCGGGCGGAAGAUCAUGGGUUUACAAGACGUCCAACAACUUGAAGGCUGUUUCAACACUCGGAUUUUAAGGUUUGGGAACAUUCAAACCUAAAGGUUAGUUCUUUAACCCUAAAAGAUCAAUUUAAAAAAAAAUUGCUAUUGCUUUCGUUACUUAGAUCUAAGAUGCCAACACUUUCAUAGUAUCAUCCAGUGAGGAUCAACUUCUUUUAAUUGAAGAAGACUCUUCCAAUGAGUCAAAUGAGUCUUCCUCACAAUUAUCUUGUGAUUGUGUGGAAAAUUGUCUUUGUAAUAUUAAAAGAAUAAAUGUUAUAACAAGUGAACAAAACUUCUUACUAGAAUUAAUAGAUAACAUUCCAGAUCCAAACAUCCAAAGGAAAUACUUCAAAAAAAUACCUAGAAUUUCAAAAACUAGACAAAUAACACAAAUCAGAAAAUACGAAUCAAUGCAAUUUAAAAAUUGUAUUAGAACAAUUUUCUAAAACUAAACCAAUAGGCAUUCAAGACCUUCAAAAUGAAAUAAGUUCGAUAAAACUUCAAAUCAAUACUAUGAUAAGUCAAAAUCAAGAAAUAGAAAACAAACUUCAAAUCUUAUAAAAUAAUAAGUCAGAAAACACCAAAGAUAAACAAGUGAAAGGUAGAGAAUCUUUUGAAUUGUUUAUAAAAACUAUAACUAGGAUGAAAUCUCAAAAAUGGUAUGUCAAAGUAAAACUCUUUAUCAAACUUGACUUUUCAAAAGAAUUUUUAGCAUUAGUUAAAGUGCAACCAGUUAUGGGAGCUUACAACCAAUUACACCAAUUAGAAAUAGGCUCAACCGAUUGGGAACCAACUCACCUCUCUUAGGCAUCUCAAUAAUUGCACACACUUUAACUAGGCAAAGAAAAAAACCCACCUCAAUACCUCAACUUGCACAAAUGCUCCCAAAACCAACAACAUGGGCAAAUGGCAUAGUUGAGUAGGAAUAGCUUUGAAGCAAUGAAGUGGGAGGGUGUGGAAGAUUUUUUUUGCUUAUAUAUACAAGAAUCGUAAAUAGAAAAAAAUAUUCUCAGAAUGAUAGAUGAUCACUAGGUAAAUAAGUUAUAGUUUGUGUGUGUGUGUUUGUAAUCUUUUAUUUUUAAGUGUUUUAAUGAAGUUGUUUUCUUUUUAGUCCUUGUGUUUUGUGUUUUUCUUUUUGUGCCUUUCUUAGGCCAAGGGGUGAAAGGACUUAGUUCACCUUUAGUUUGGUUGUUUGUGCUUGAAAAAAACUAUAACUUAGGUCAAUGGUUAUAAGGACCAAAAAUAGUCUCCAUUGGCUUAGGUCUGUAGUUACAAGGACCAAAAGGAGUCUUUACAAAGAGCAAAGGCUAUGGUUGUAAGGCUUGAAAUUCAAGCAACCUUGGCCUUAGUUCCUACAAUCUCAUACAUAUACAUAAACUCAUCCAAAUCAUUUGGCUAUGAUGACUCACCAAGAGCAAUCUAACCAAAAUUUUCUUUCAUUGAAGCGGGUGAUGCUUAUUUCAAUGGGAGCCUUAUGGUUGGUGUAAACCCAAGUCCUAGUCCUAAAGCCCAUAGCACAAGGCUAGUGUCUUGUUAAAGGUUCUGAGUUCGAGAGAAGGAAUCCAAAUGACUUUCCACUCUUGGAUAUUGUUGUUGUUGUAGUUUUUGUUGUUUCAUUUUUAAAUUUUAGUUUCUAAGGUCCUUUCCUCUCUCUUGAAAUUAAAAUUUUAUUGUUUUAUUUCUUUAACUAGCACUCACACCUCCAAAACUCCUACCAGUACUAUUAUUGAUUAAAGGUUCUCUAUGGAGACGACCUAAUUGCUAUACAAUUGUUAGUUUUUUUUUUCUAUAUAUAUUUUUGGUUUCAAAGUUAAGUGUUUCAACAACUUCUCUAGUUUAAAAUUAUGUUUUUGUAAAACUUUAUUGAAAAAAUAUUUACAUAUUUAGUUUUAAAUUAGAAAAACACAACUAAAUCACUCAAUUAGUUAGGCUCGACUAGUCAAGGAUUGGUUGAGGUUACUAAGAAUUCUUUCUUUCUUCUAAUAGUUAGGGUGUAGCCAGUUUAUGCAUAGUCUUAAUCGAUCAAGGGGCAUUUUAGUGGCAAUCAAGGAUUAAAUACACCUUCAGUUGAGGUUAGAAACCCCAAUAGUUACUUGUAGAGCAUUUAAUUCCUUAUGACUAGUUAAUCAAUCAAAUCGGUGUUGAACUGGUCAAGGGUUGACAUUUAUGACUUUUUAGGUUCUUGAGCUUGAAACAUAUAAAUUGAAGAUUUUAGAGCAUUUAUUGACUUGAGAAAAAUUACAUUCAAUUAAAAAAAUAUUAUUUCCCUUGUUUAAAGCUCUUCAUCCAAGUGCAUUGAUUUAUCACUUGCGAAUUUUAUUAGUGCACCUUUCAUAUCCAUCCUUGUUUCCUUUGUAUGAGACAAACUUGUAUCUAGGAUUGGAAGUGAAAAAUAGGUAUUGCUUUAAUACCACUUGAAUAACAACUGAAAGUCCAAUAGCGAACACCCAAAGGGGGGGGGGGGGGGGGGGGGGGGGGAAUGGUUGAUUUAAAAUUUUAAAUAAAGAUUUAUAUGCUAUAUCAAAUUCUUUUACCUUAAGAAUUUUUCAGGGUUAUACUGGAUAUUCGAAAAGGAGUUCACCCUAAAUCUAGAAUGAUAAAACUUAAUUUUUAUGAUUAAUUGACAUCCAACGAUUAUUUGGGGAUAAAAUUAAUUAAUUAAUAAUAUCUUGAGAGAUGUUAAGGAUAACAAUAAUUAGUUAUAGGGAUAACAACCAUAACCACAAAGCUAACCACCCUAACAACCUUAAUAGCAAUCCUAACAAAUCAAUCAAACUUAAUAAAAUAAAAUCUAAGAAGGAAUAUAUAGAUAUGCACUGUGGACCCGCAUUUUUCACAUGCGUCCCCACUCGAUCGGCGAGACUCUCCUUUUAUUUGUGAAAUUUUGAUUUUUGAAAAAAGUUGGAGUCGCCACUUAUUUUAUUUUUAUUUUUGAAGGGAAAAUAAAACAAGAAAUAAAACCCUAAAAAAAUGACUCCAUAAUUUUUGGAAAAACGUGUCUUUGAAAAACCCGAGUCUAAGUCCGGGGAUCAGGUUACUUAUUGGGAAGGUACCUUUAAAAGGUAGCACCCCUCUAAGCCCUAUAAAGGUCUCUACUGACAAAGUUAAGGGAAGUGUGGUCGUUAAUUAGUUAAUUAUGGAUACCUAAGUAGGUUAGGUGAUUUCAAAUAUUGCAUGCCUAACAAGAAAACAAACCAUGAGAGAGAAUCGAAGUGCGUACCUAAACGGCUUUUCAAGCGCUAUCACAAGACAUCAAAGUUAGUAUAGAGAUAUAGCACACAACAUGCAUUUUAUCCAAGCAAGUCAAACAUACAUCUAAGCACCCAAGGAUUAAAUCAAAGCAUGGAUAUAGCUCAUGAUAGCAUGCAUUUUCAUAAAAUUUUGGAAUUAGAGGAUAGAGAAUGUACCUGGAUAGCAAGUAGAUUUUAUAAGAUUCCUCGAAAAAUGCUAGAUUGGUUAGGGCAAGCAUAAAUUAUAUGAAAUAUCCAUUAUGUCUAAUAUACAGUUUCAAAGCCAAAAUUGAGCUAAGACAAAUUAAAUGACUCCAAAAAUAAUAACAAUUUCAAGUAAGGUAUAAAACCAUCAGCAUGCAGUUAGAAAAUGAAGCAUCAUAAAACAAUUUCUAAAAAAAUGGCUUAGAGUGGAAUUUGAUUACAAAAAAUUUCAGGAAACAACUCCUACACACCUAGAUUAACAUACCAAAAGCCAAACACUCAUUCAAAAGACAGAUUAUCGCAAAGGCACCUAAAGGUUCUACAAAGUCCAGAUUAGAUAAGGAAAAGUGACGUGCAUAAAUGAAUUUUUUUAAAAAUAAUAAAUGAUCAUAUAAAAUUAUAAAAAAAAUCACGCACAUAUUUCAAAAUGUCUAUAUCGCAUAAAAAAUAAAUUCGGGGUCGAAUAGUACUCAAAAAUAUUUUUAAAACUAUAAAUCUAAUCAUAUGUACAAACUUCAGCAUGCGCAGUAGGCACAACUUUGAAAAAUCAUAUCUCCCUCAAAAAUGCGUAUUUUCUAAUAUUUUAUGUGUCUAAAAUCAAUUUCAAGAGGCUUAUAAUUGAGAAAAAAUUGAAUCAAUUUUAAAAAGUCCUCUAGUAUUUUAUUUUUUCCAAAAGAUCUUGGGUGUUCAGAACUAUGUGAAAACGGAGUCCCCCUAAAGACUCAUUUAUAUCUUCUAUAUCGGAAUGACUUUCUAACUCAAACAAAACCUAAAAUUCAAGAUCAAGAAGUGAGGAAAGUCAUAAAAUUUCUGGAAAUUUUUUACAGAUAUCCUAAAGUUGUCAAAAUGAAUUUUUGAAGUUGAAGGGUCAGUGGUUUGAUGAAAACUGGCAGCAAAGAUUAAAUCAUUUAACACCUAAGAUGGGUAGUUCUUUUCUUUUUAACAAACCGAUUUUAGAUCAAGAAAUCUCAGUAGGAAGGGGUCUCAACAGGUAUACUGAUGUUAUAGCUGCACCUGAGAUGACAAAGUCUUGUGUAUUUUGUAGGAAGAUAAUCAUAAACAGGGUGCACAAUGGGGAAUUCAUGUCAGAAUGGUGGCUACUCCCUUACGUGCUGAAGCUGAUGUAUAAUAUAAUUUCCCCACUAGCUGCCACCAUCCCUACAUAUCUAUCACUAUCAUCCAGCCCUGAUCCCAAGGGGCCCACCAUUUGAAGUCUCAUUUUAAAAAUAAAUAAAUUUUAUGCUGCAAUCUGGACCUAAUUCCACUACCCUUUUGACCACUGAAGUUGUGCAAUGUACGAAUGUUUUGUCCACCAAUCUGCUGCUCUCUCUUUUAAGUGUACACCACUCUUAUAAAUCUCAUGCACAACUUCCUCUUUGAGUGUAUACACCCUCUCUCUCAAGCACAAAUUAGAACAUGAAACCAAUUAUAGAACAAAGUGAUAAUAACACUGAGUAAGGAGUUCUCAACAAACAUACCGAGGAACGCUCUUUUCUGGCAAGGAGGUCCCACUGGUAUGUCCUCUGAGAUUUCUUCAACCGCCCUCUCCUUCUUCUCCACCAACAGCUUCUCACUAGAAAGUCUUCUCUGAAACUCCAAUUUUUCCACUUCUCUCUCUUUGUUUUUUUUUUUUUUUUCUUCUAUGUGCUGAAAGUCCUCUCUCCUCGAAACCUAUCUGUUAGAGCUUUUUAUAGCAAAUAACAGUCCUUCUACGUGAGGAGUCUUCCUCUCUCCAAAUUUUAUCUUAUGCACCGGAAAAACUCCCUUUUUUUUAAUUUUCAAACAAUACCAAUCCACGCAUAUCACCUACAAUCCAUGCAUAUCAUUUAAAGAGUUUUACCAUUUUCAAAAACUUCUCCAAUGGUAGACUUCUUCCAUAAAAAUUUCAAAUUAUUAAAUUAAAUAAAUAAAUAAAUAAUAAAAUAAAUAAUAAAUAAUAAAAUAAAUAAAUAACUAAAUAAAUAAAUCGGAGAAUAUAAAAUGAUAAUAAUAGAUAAGUGAAUAAAUAACAAGAUAAUAAACAAAUAAGUAAGAAUACUAAAUAACUAAAUAACUAAAAAUGAUUGAUAAUAAUGAAAAUAAAUUAAAAUAAAUGAAUAAAUAAAACCAUAAUAAAUGAUCAAAUAAAAGUGGUUAAUAAUAAUAAUAAAAAUAAAAAUAAAUAAAUAAGUAAAUGAGAUAAAUGGGUCAUACAACCAUACAAGUCACACUAAAAAAAAAAGACUAAUGGGCCAAGUGGGCCUGAGUGAACUUAGACGGGCCUUGGGUGUCUAAAUGGACCAAGUGUAUCUAAAUAGGCUUAGGGUGCCUAAAUGGGUCAAGGGUGCCUAAGUGAAGUUUAGUCUAAAUCAAGACUACCGAGGAUCACAAUAAAGGGGCGGAUAAUCCCUUAACCAAAGUCUCCGAGGUGACUCAGAAAAAGGUAAGUCGUACGAGUAGUAAUGGGCCACCAAGGAACUACCGUGGAGCACUGGAAGUGAAUUUAAAGACAUGUGCUAAAAGGACAAAAUUGAUGGUCUACAUGCACCUUUUAUGAAAACCUUGAAAGAUAUUAGGGAUAAUCAAUUUAAUCUAUUAUAGGUAAUUCAAACAAACUAUCAAAUGUAAAAGAUAUAGAUAAUGAGGCACAAGAUUUUUAUGUGAAAAUCCCCCACAAACUAUGGAGAUAAAAAACCACGAGGUCUAAGACCUACCAAUCUAAAACAUUUUAAGUCCAAAAAUAAUGUUGAACCUUUUAUACCUCAAAGAAGCCUUAUAUGUCAUAAGCCAAACCUUUUUAAGUGUGCUUGUGACUUCCUAGUUGGAAAAAUAGAAACCCUUGGACUUCAAUGGAGAGCAAGUCACUAUAUAAAUGGAAUUUUAUUGCCAAACACAAAAUGGAACAAAAUUUACAACAUAUAAACAAGACUCAAUGCUCUAACAAUCUCCCCUUUUGGCAAUUUUGUGACAAAACAUUAUUACAUAAACCUACCCAAACUCUCAUAAAGGAGUUUACAUAACACACAUUAUCACUCAAUUUAAAAUUAAACCAAGGGAAUGCUUUGCAUCACUUUGUAGUUCUUAUCUUCCAAUGUUGUAACCUGCACACAUAUGGAAAAUAAUACCAAAGGUAAAGUAGUGUGAAAGAUAAAAUAAUAUCAUAAAAGAAAAAAGGAUAGUUAGAGACUUUGCUUGAUGCAUUGUGAAAGCAUAAAAAAGAAAUAGAUUCUUAUAAUAACGUCAAGGUGCAAAGCAAAGCUCAAAAGGAAUUUGAAUGUAUGCCAAUCAAGUCAACAUAAUAAAAACUAGAUAUUUCACAAUAAUUUAAUAGUAAAGUGACAAGAGCUUUUCACAACCAAAAUAUACAGAAGGAAAAACAUGGGAAAAAUGUUUUUUGAUUAAGAUUAGUUCUAGAGAUAUACACAAUUCAAACAAUAAUAUUUUACAAAAAAAAAAAAUUGCGUCAAGUAUCUCUAUUGAACUUUAAUGUCAAGCUUUCUAAGGUUGAUUUGGUUUACUUCAAUGUCUCAUAUUCAAUUUCCACCAAUAUUUCAAUUCAAUUCCCUUAAUGAAUAAUUAAAGAAUAAAAAAUAACUAACUCCGACCCCUUAAAUUAAGGAGUUUCUAUGAUUACCCUGUCUCCCCUUAUUUAUAACUCUCUCUUUUAAAAUGAAUUAAAUAUUUAAUAUAUGAUCUCCCCCUUUUUCUUUAUUUAAGCGAUUCAAUAUUCUCCAUCUGUUUUCUUUAUUUAAGAGGGUUGUUAAAUAUUCAAUGUUCUCACCCUUUUGUCACAAAAGUGGGAAAGUAACAGAAAUAUAAACACAAGAAAGCACAUAAGAGAUAAAUAGAAGAGUGAAAAACACAUAGAUAUGUAUAUAUCAAUAACAUGAUUUUGGAUACAUAAGAUAAGCAAUGAAUAAACAUACAGAUAAACAAACAUACAUACAAGGAAAAAUAAAAUAACUAAGCACUAGGAGGAGGUGGAGGAAAGAAGGAGCUUAAAUCGCUUUGAGUAUGGAUCCAAGCAAUUAUAUAGGUCAACUGACCCUACAACUCAUGGAAUUGAACAUCCUAUGAGUCUAACCUUUGAAGCAUUGAGGUCAUGGGAUCCAUCUCCUAAGUAGUUCAGUUUAUGGAAGUUGAUGUUCCAUGAGAAACUCUAAAUGAUCUAGCAUGACCCCGACUAGAGCGAGUCCUCAGAGCAACCUUAGGAAUGGGUGCAUCCUACUUCAUGGCUCAGAUCUCAUCUUCCUUAGUAAGUGCCUCCUGAGCAGCUUAUUAUGCCAGUGUAGCAUUCUCAGGGUCUUUGGGAACUGGAGGAACCAUGGGACCAUACAUGUGGUUGUAGUGUUUAGCCUAAGAGCUCUCAUCUAACAAGACAUAACCAACCUAGACCCUUUAUUCAAUAGUAAUUUCAAAGCCAAUGUGCCAUAAUAGUUUAGAGGUGAGGAGUUUGAAAGGAAGUGCACCACAAUAGAAGGAAAAAUCUCAAUAGGAGGUGGUGAUAUUGAGAUAACCUACCCAAUGUCGAACUAUUAUCCCGAGAGGAUGGAAUGUAUGAAAAAAGUAGUUGAUCGACAAAUCUCAAUAUGAUGGGACAAGGAAUAGAAAGAGUAAGGAAAGUAGCAAGAAUCCAAGUUGGCUUGGAGAAGCUAGCCAAUGGAAUAUACAUGGGAAGCUUUCAAGAAGCACCAUAAAAAGAAACUAGAAUAAAAACAAGCUCUCCAAGAGUGAAGCCUAAACCUCUAAAAGGAAGAGAGGAAGACAUGCAUCAAGUCGAGGCAUGUUGAGUACAUGCUUGGUUGACAAAGAAGUGAUUUAAAAGGACUGACCAAACAUGAUCACCUAGAAGGAGCAACCAGGAGAAAUGAUAUGCAUUCACAUAGAACAUGUGGACUAGAAGAAGAUUAUAUGAUUCUUAUAAAGUAAACAAGAACUCCCACCCUCCCCCGUUGAAAAUGGUAGGAAAAGGAGUAUCCUGAAAGGCACAAAGGUUAAUAGAACACUCGAUCUCAAUAUGAUGGCUAUGAAAAAAAGCAUAAAAAUGAUCACAAGACUCCCGAGACUAGAAACACUCAAUAGGAAGAUCAAAGUGGUCAAAAGGUCCCUAAAAAGCAAUGCCUUAAAUGGGGUCAGGUGAUCAAGGAGGAGUUGACUCUCAUUGAUGCCUACAUCUAGACAUAACUAAGGGAAUGCUAAAGGACACAAAAAUAGAGAAAAAUAUGGAGAAAAUAAAAACCAUUAGAAAUGUCCUAAAAGAGGUAUCGAACAAUACUUUAAAGUCAAAAACUCAAAAAUAAUGAAAACUAACCCCAAAUGUCAAAGAGAUGGAAUCUUAGAGCGCUUUAGAGAUUAGAAAAACAUUUGAAAUACAAAAAGGCAUGUUGGAUAGGUUUUUAUACCCAGACAUACCGUUAGAUACAGAUUAGUGCUCGAGUAGGAUGCUCGUUGGAUGUAACUUAGAGGGCUUAAGAGGUAAAGCUUAGAAAGCUUAAGCGGUAGAGCCGCUGGAUGAGACUUGAGCAUUGGAUGCAGCGCUCGAGCAAGAAUAACCUAAUUUCAAUUCUAAUAAAUGAUAGAAUACUCAACUAACUAACUUAAAGGGAAGGAUUAACACAAAAUGAAUGAACUUUUAAUAUAUUAAUCAAAGUAAACAGAUAAUUAAGUCCGUAUGCUUUUAAUAUUAGCUCAAUCAGUAAUAAAUUAAGUUACUUAAGACAGUACAUAAAAAUUCAUCAAGAAUCAAGUUUCAAGUUCAUAGGUUAGAGUUAAUCAUAAUCUUAAAUUCGAAAACCCAAUGCAUAAACCAUCAAUGUAGAAGAGAGUCAACAUAGAAACAUAAGCAUUGAUGUUCAAGGGAAUACGAUUACUGUCUAGUUCUAUAUUUUGAAAUUGAUUGCUUAGAAGAAAUCCAGUCAUGUCUUUAGUCAAAUUAAAAAACACAUCAAGUCAAUUUGAACUAAGAUCAUCGAAUUUGUAUUUAACACAACCUCGUUGAUCUACAUUAAACAUAACUUGACUCUCCCUUAAUUUGAUAUCGGUUUUUUUUUUCUUGAAAGUGAAGGCAUUGCAUACCAUGAUUAAUAUUGAUUUUUCUUUUUCUUUUCAUUCAUGGUUGCCUUUGUAUCCACUUUAGGGAUGUUUCCAAAUGUUGCAAAUGAAUAGUUUCCAUUUAAGAGCAUGAAUCUUAGAGAAGGUAUAUGAGAGUUAGGCUUAACCAAUGAUUCAAUAUUUUGCAUUGACUCACUUUGGGAAACAAAUAUAAUGAUCACAUCCAAACAAGGUAUGUGGAUAAUAAGAUUUGAGCAUGACAAUGGAUCCUUCCAAAGCAAUCAAAGUGUACUUUAUGAGUUCAACUUAAGAAGUCUCCCUUUUGAUCAAGUACAAGAUGUAACUAAUAUUGAAUUUUCUACAUACAAAGACAUUUAAUAAUCAUAAAUCAAAUACAUCAAUAGUGAUUAACAAAUAUCUAUGAUUUUUAGCCACAUCAAAUCUUGUAGAUAUAGUAUAUUUCUCUAAAUCACAAAAUCAAGGUAUUACAAAUCAUGCUAAUAUAUCAAGUAAAUAAACAAAAAAAUCAUAUUCCCAAAGUAAAAUAAGGUUAAAGGAAACAAAAAAGAUAUAAACACUAAGCUCAAAACCAUUGAGGCUUAUUUCUAAGAUAAUCAAUCGAUUAAGCAUAUGCCUAGGGAUUUCCUAAGGUACUCAAACAUAAGAGAAUCCAAGGGUUUGGUAAGACUAUCUGCUAAUGGCUUUCAAUGUGGUAAUAUGAGAAUGAAGAAAAAGAUUCUUUUUGAGAUAUUUAUUGCACUAGAAUUGUAUUAGGACAUCGAGUAUUGUUUAUAUGUUGGCAAUUUUAUUCUAAUUUUAUAUUUGGCCAUAUAAAUCUUUUUAGAUAGUGACUUGCUCUCCAUAGAAGAUCAAGGGUUGUUGUUCGUCCAACUGAAAGUCAUAGGUACAUCUGAGAAGGUUUGGCUUGUUGCAUAUAAAAAGCUUAUUUGAGGUAUAAAAGGUUUGAUAUCAUUUUUGAGAUUAAAAUGUUUUUUAAAUGAUUUCUCAAAAAGAAGGGGACGCUUAAGUGGUUAGAGCGCUCAAGAAAUUAAUCACGUUCAAGUGGUCUAAGUCCACACAAGUGGUAAUGACAGUCCUGUCGAGUUUAAAAACAUAUUUUGAAUGAAUUUCAAUCUAACUCUAAUUUGGAAACUUGUGAUACCAAAAUCCUUAUGGUUUUUGCCUAUAAAUACCUCCCUUGUAACCCUUUAAGGCUAAGAGAUUGAAGAUUAGAAAGAUCAUAGAGAUCUUAGAGUUGUUGGAGACCUCUUAUUAUUUAGAAGUACUCUUGAGGGGAUAGCCUAAUUUGCCACACCAUUCUCAUUCUCUCAUUCAAGCAUUUGAUUAUUUGAAUUGUUGGUUGAACGUCGUAAUCUCUUCAGUAGGACCAAAUGAUAUACUAGGGAGCAAUAAGUAGUUUUUGUGUCACGCAUGUGGAUCAAGUUGAGGUGUUGGAGAGUAAGCAUUUAAGGUAAAGUGACUAGGUAAAUCUAUGUGACUUGAUUUCAAAUAGUGGAUUUCGAUUGAUAGGUUUUAGACCUCGUGGUUUUUUUAUCUCCAUAAUUUGUGGGGGUUUUCCACGCAAAAAUAUAGUGCGUCAUUAUCUAUCUAUUUAUAUUUGAUAUAAUGUUUGAAUUUCCUAGAAUAGGUUAAUUUGUUUAACCUAAUAUCUUACAGGGCUAUUCUAAUAUAUAUAUAUAUAUAUAUAUAUUCAUUCCUCCAUAUAUUCUAGUUGAAGAUAUUGAAUAAAUUAGACUGAUUGGUUAAUUGGUUAUUGAGUUUGUUGAAUUGGUUCUCUUGUUGUGGUUAUACCUAUAAUCAAUUAUUGAUUCGUUGAUAUUAUUGUUGAGUUUGUUAGGUUGGUUAUUCUUAUUGUUAUUGUUAUCCCUAACAUUCUUCAACAUAUAUUGUUAAUCUUUGGAUAUCAAUUAACCAUAAAAAUCAGACUUUCAUUGUGGUGAAAUCCUUUUUGAAUAUCCGAAUUAUCCCUAUGAUAUUGAUUCAUAUCUUAUUGAUUAAAAAUUCAUUUUUCUUAUUUAUAUUGUUUAAAAAUCAAAUUUUUAUUAAUCAUAUAGGAUAAAAAUCAAAUUUUUAUUGAUCCUGUAAGUCUUAUAUGGAGCAAUCUAAAAGUGGUGCUAUUUUCAAUAGUCUACACUAUUUUGAUUGGAAUAAUUACUCCCAUUAGAAAGUACAAAUGAUGUUUUUCCUUCAAAAUGCACAGCGGAAGGGUAUGAAACUUAGUUGAAUAUGGUUGGAGACCACCAUUAAUCCUUGAUACUCAAGGAAGAUCAACAAGAGUGUUGGGAACCUUACUUCGUUCUCAUGCCCUAGAUCUCAUAGGAUGCAUGCAUCCAUCCUUAGGGCUCUCUAGAUCGAACACAAUGGAAAAUAAUGGUUUAUACAUAGAUCUAUAUGUUCCCAGAUCAAUUCCUUAUAGUGAAGAACAUGCUUAGAAAAACUAAAGAAUCUCUCCUAAUACUGCUACCCACGUGCACGUCCUAUGUGAUUCUCGUGAACGUGGCCCGUGCGUAUUCCAUGCAGUUCUCGUGCAUACGACCUAUGUGAUUAUAGUGGAUUUCUCGUACACCCAAGAUUUUUCGCUCGAUGACUCUUCCUUAUGUUUAGGCACUGAGAUGGUGGAGAUCUCGAAGGUGAAAGUUAUGGUUUUCUCUUUGGACUGAAAAAGGAGAAUGACAAGACAUAGAAACCUUAACCUCUAAAGGGAUAUUUAUGGGCUUCCUACAUGGCUUAAGUGACUUAAGCCCACCAUAGGCUUGGGUCACUUAAUCUAACCCAAAAAAGUUGUUAAUUGAUUAAUUAACCAUAUGAGACAGUAAUUAAUCAAUUAGCCUAGUCCAAAGAUACAAUUCACUUAUCCUUGUGCAACCUUGCGUCAUUACCAAAACACCCUUCUACACAAAAGUGAACUACAAACCCAUCCAAUUAUCAUAAACCAUGUCAUCAAGGAAUAUGAGCUCAGAAUGGGGACCAUUGGGACCUAUAAGAGUACUAACUUCUUCAAGAUCAAAUUCUAAAAUUGACACAAUAUUCCACUAUAAAGAGUCAAUUGCACUCUAGUACCCUAUGUUAUAAUGAGACACCAAGUGCUUGAGUCCGUGACCUUACUAUCCAUUGCAUGAAGACUCCCCAUGAACUACUGUUUGUAAUCUAACAAGGUAGUGCUAUCACCUAUCAAAAUUACCUCUCAAAUACUUGAGUUACAAAUCUUACUUAUUAUGUGGUCAACUGACAUACUCUAACUCCAAGGAGUAUAUGUCAAAUUCCACAAAAUGAAUUACUAGGGUCAUAGAUUUCAUGAUCACAUGUCCUUUGGAUCACCCAAGGACACUAUCUAGAUCCCAUGAGAUAUCAUGGUACUUCUAUUGAGAAUACCUAUUGCUACUAGCCUUCAUCAACAAUGACCUAAUCCAUAGGGAUAUAUGACCAGUUUAGGGUUUCACCCACAGGUUAAAGCCUCCUAUUGAUUUUAGUACAGACUCAAUAUCCUCUCAAGGUUGAGAGUCUAUGCAGUAUAGUAGCUUAGUGAAUCGUGACACUUGAUAGCCUUGUGUUAUGAUUCACCAUAAGUCCUAUACAGUGUGCAUCACAUACACUAGUGCACUCACCAUGGAAUACCCAUCCCUACAACCAAGACAAGUCAUCUCUCAAAUUAGGAGGUGGUGCACUACAAUCUCUAUUGGAUUGCCCAAAUCCAUGAACCGAUUGUGGACAACUUAUCUACUUAUAAGGAACCCAUGACUUCUAUAUUCUAUGCAACUCCUAAUGCACCUAAGCCAUAUGCAAAUGUAAGAGACAUAGGUUAAAUGCUUAAAUCAAUUUUAACACACCAAAAGGAUAACAAGAGGAUAGUUAAGUUUAACUUUGUUACAUCAUGUCUUAAUUUUAGGCACUCAAUCCCAAAAAACUCACACUAGCCCCAAAGGCAGACCAGGUACUUCAGAAAGAAUAUACUCUAUAAUUACAUCACCUUUCUAUCAUAUUUCAUAACAAGGUAUCACUUACUCUCAAUGUGUUUUCUCUUCUAGUGGUACUUUAGUUCUUUAGACCAUGCCAUCGUCCCAUUAUUAUUACAUAAUAGGAUCUUAGACAAUAUAGCCAGAGGAACUACCUAUAAGCCAAAAGGCAUCCUUUGUUUCUAUAGAAACAAUAAAAAACCACUUAGAGUGUACACAUACUAAAAGGUAGACCUACGAGAGUCCUUAUCAAACUAAGUCCAAUUUUCCUGUAUGAAAUGAGUACCAAAUCAUCACAAAAACUCACAAACAUAUAAUCCCCCACUUCCCAAAGAUACUAGAGUAUAUGCUUAACAUCCGCUUAAAGCUCUAAUGAAGAAAUGGACUAAUAUCCACUCAUUAUUUCUAGAACAAAGCAAAUAUCUGGUCUAGUACAUAGCGUUGCAUACUUAAGGCUAUCCAUUAUAAAGGCAUUGGAUAUCACCUUAAUGUGGUCUCUCUCCAUAGAUGUCUAAGGACAUUUAUUCUAAGAAAGACAACUCCAAAUCCAAAGAGUAAUAAAGUUUUCUUGAAGUUUUGCAUCAUAUACUUGACCAAAUGCUUAUCUAUGUAGAUGAUAUGGCACAAUUUUCCUAUUUUUGUAGUCCUAAAGGACCUUAAUCUUGAGAAUAUAUUGCAUCUUCCUCUAAUUUUUCAUCUAGAACUGAGUAGAUUGCUAGAUCUUGAUUGAUGACAGUAUCCCUACAUCAUAUCGAUUGAGUAAAUUGUCAUCUACCUACAAGAUCUUAGAGCAUCACCACACUUCCCUGUGCUUUUUUGUUCACACAAGACCCUUUGCUAUGAAAAUAUUUGGUUGCAAUGGAUACGAGUAAUAUGAUGGAUUUUAGUAUGACCACUAUUAAAAAGGUUUUUCACAGUUGAAACAAAGUUUCAAACUAUAACCUUUAGCUACAGUCUUAGCCACAUAAAACUUAAGCUUUCCAUCUACUCCUGUGUUCCUCUUGUAUACCAACUUACACCUAUGGGUUUUAUCCCUUUAGGUACUUCUACAAGACUUCAAACUAUGUUAGAAUACAAAGAUUUUAACUACCUCUUUAUAGCUCCUUUUCUUAAGUGAGCACAAACACUACUCACUGUUUCAUCAUAAUUUGUGGGACAUAAACCUCCUACUACGAUGAGGCAUUGGUGUACUAGAAAUCAUAGGAAUGUUAUGUCUUUAACUCUUUGGAUCCAUAGUAUACUAUGUAAUGUGAGACUAUCUUCUAAUAUAUCCUCCAAUUUAUAUCACUUUUUUCCUUAUUCCUUAUCAUAUAAUAUUUGUAAAAAAUAUGACAUUUGUGUGAACAAAUAUCUUCUAAUGAUGUUGACUAUAAGGGUAAUAACCCAAAAAUCCUUUUAAAUAUCCUAUAAACUGAUAUACCUCUUAAGAAAGAGAGUUAUUAGACAAUCUAUAAGACAUAUCCCCAAAAAAAUCUGGAAAACGAUGAGAAAUCUAUCCACGAUCUCACUAUGUCCAUCCAAGUUUGAUAUCUUUUUUCCACCUCUCUAUUUUGCAAUAGAGACCUUGGUGCACAUAACUAGGAAAUAAUCUUGUGAUCUAAGGGAAAAAAUCAAACUUACUAGACAUUUCACCUUGAUCUAAUCAAAGUGACUUGGUAUGUAUACCCAAUAGGUUAUUUGAUCCCGCCUUAAAUUUAAUGAAUGUAUCCAAGACAUCAUAUCUCUUAUGUACAUAUCCAAACCUAGAGUAAUCAUCACUAAAAUUAAUGCAAUAACCAUUGCUAGGAACCCAGGAUUUCUCCAUUCCCUUAUCCUGGAUCAAAUAGGUGCAUGCAAAACUACCUUAGGCCUCUAGAUCCUAUGCAACAUAACAUAUUUUUAUAAUUUUAGGAUCAAGAGGAAAGACAUUAGAGAACUUUACCUUUGAUUUGGAUGUUCCUAAAUCAACUAUGAUAAGAGAAGAUGAAAAUCAAUGAAUCUAGAAGUCUUGUACACCUAAGAUCCUCCGCUUGAUGACUCGAACCAUGAUCUUGACACUCCAAAGUGUGGAGUUUGGAAAGGAUGAUCUCUUUGAUCUUACUAUCUCUCUUUCUCUGGAGAUGGAAGACAAAGUCUCUCUUAAGGUUAUGGAAACCCUAGCCCCUAUAGGGUAUUUAUAGGGUUCCCCUACUGGGCUUAAGUGACUACAGCCUACCAAGGCUUAGGUCACUUAAUCUAGUCUAAAAUGGGUCUUAAUUGCUUAAUUAAUGAUUCGUGCCCAAUUGGUGUCUCAGCUGAUUCGUGUCCAGCUGGCGCUCCUUGAUUGAGGGAGUAAUUAACAAAAUUUAUAACCUAUUACACCAUAUACUAGGGUAGCAAAGACAAAGCUACUAUAGUAUAGUGGCUCUAGGAUCGUUCACUGGGAUGGGUUUUCACUUUGCAAAUGAUAUUAAUUCAAAGCUGAAUUGGUGUCUUUUCAUUUCAAGGUUAGCUUUAAAAGAAAACAUAAAGAUGUUUGAAUGAAAAAGGUUUGGUUUUAAACUAACCACAAAUAGUAACUGAUUUUAACUACAAAGAAAAGUGUUUCUUGGAGUUCAGAUCACUAGGCUCGUUCCUCAUACAAAAAGGAGAGUUCCGGUCACUUGUUUCUUUUCCUCGCAUUAGAGAAUUAACAUAUAGUUAAUUCUCUAACCGGUGUUGUACAGAUGCUUCCCAUUAAUGGGUUCAAACACUAAAUCCCUCUCACUGAUGCACUUUGCAAUGGCUCAUACCUCUCACCUAGCACUUGCCAUUCAAGGUGAUCUUUAACCUUGGACUUCCCUUCAAAAGCUCGCAAGAGAUAACUAAUGGAUGUCUCCUUGGAGUCCAAAAGCUUACCAAGUGUUGGCUAUUCUAGAAAAUCCUACCUUCAAGUCACCUCCCAAAGGCUCGCAAGGGGUAAACUAGUGCAUUUCCAUGGUUGGAAAUCACUUGCCUUACCAAGUGUUGGCCCAGGUGACUCUAAGGUGUUUUAAGUUAGCUAAAAACAUAGAAAUCACUAACGGGUUACACUUUCUCUUCAUUAAAAACUAAAACAACAAAACUUCCAAAUUAUGCAUGUGGAAACUUACCCGGCUUUCCUCACUCCAAGAGACAAAAAACUUAGCCUCUCAUCCUCUGUGGAAAAAUCCUCAGAGUUUGGUUGGCUAGAAAAUGAAAAUGAAAGAGAAGACAAGAAUAUAUAUGAAAAACAGAGCAAGUGCUCUGUUCCUUGAUUCUAUAUAUGAUAUAUCUAUAUAUUACAUACUUCCCCCAGCGUCUCCUUUUUAGUGUUUACAAAAGAGCUUAUAUAGGAAGGUAAUUUACCCUUCCUUGGAUACUUCCUAGCUAAGGAAUUACAUGAGUGGUUGAAUACAAGGAGAAAAUGGAAAUUUAUACAAAAAUAUCUGAAGAAAAAUAUCCAAAAGAGUCGGUGCACAAAUAUUAGGAAGCACUAAGGACAUUUCGCAGGUGAAAACAAGGUCUGCGAGAUUUCGCAGACACUCAAGAGGGCUGCGAAAUAUUUUCGCAACAACAAGUUAAACUCGCAGGGCUGCGAAAUUGGCUUCCACCUUGAGGUUCUCAGCGUUCCAGCUUGCGGUAUGUAUCGGGUAGCUUCAGGAGGAAUUCCAUAGCACUGUAUAAAAAGGCUGCGAAAUUCUCGCAACAAAAGGCUGAUUUCGCAACACUUUGGAGUGAUCUUCUUGAAAUGGCUGUAACUCCUUAAUUUCAACUCCAAAUCAUGCACCGUUUGAAGCAUUGGAUUCUUGACUUUCUGAGCUUUGAAAUGGUAUAUAGCAUGUAGAAAAUGGACUUCAGGAAGUGCUCCAAAAGUGUGCAAGAAGACUGCAGCUGCUGUCCUCUGUUUUCUUCACUCUGUUUUUCCUCUCUCCUUGCAUACUUUGAACGACUAAGGCAAUGGGCUAUGGAGCUCCAAAGCUUGGUUCUUCCUGAAUUUGAGCUCUUCAUUUCUUUGCCAUGGAUUCCAAAUAACUCUCCUCAAUCUUGGAUUGUUUUGGUGAUCAAAUUACUAACAAAAACACCAAAACUUACACAAUUUGAUUAGAAAUGAUUGCAAGGGUCCUUAACAUGUUAAUUGGGUUAAAAGGCAAUAACUACUACUCAAAAGUGUUUAAAAGGAUUAAUUACAAGCUACAAAAUAGCACUUUUUGAGUAGUAAUCACUCCCCCCAACCGACAUAUUGCUAGUCCCUUAGCAAUGAAGGAGAGAAAAAUAAAAAUAAACAUUACUAUAAUUUACAACAUCAUGCUGAUAAAAAAAACAAUUCUCAAGUGGCAUGAUGAUCUAACUCUCACAUGGAACAUUAAAGAAAUAAAACUCAAACUUCAACAAGAGUUAUCAAAUAACUUGUCUAAUCACAAUUCUUAAAGAGAAGGCAUUAUGCAAAUUUAAACUUUAAAAUCAUUUCCACUUCCAAAGGAUCAAGCCUUACUCUUCCACAAAAAUCUAAGUGUUAUUUAUUAGCUUCCGAAUAUAGUAUGUUGAACUAAUCUCUCCCCCCAACCUAGUUCUUUUUCAAAGCUUAGCAAACUAAUCAACCUCCAAUAGGCUAAGAACGCACCUCUUUUUUCACAAUUUUUUUCAUUGUAGGAGUACAAGGCUUAAAGGUAUUCUUUUCUAAAUUGUCCAUGUAACGGGGGUCCAUUGAUGACUCCCAACCAAUUAAGGUUUAGGGCAUCAAGUUUUAAGGAUCUUUCAACCACUAACUCCUCGGAUUUUACCCCGGACUUUUGAGAAUGAAUUUUAAUACCCAAGCACCUACAGUAUGUUAAACUCCACCUAUCCACCCUUGUAACGAGCAUUGAGGUCGGUGACUCCCAACCAAUGAAGGCUUAGGGCACCAGGUUUUAAAGAUUUUCACCAUAUACCCCUCAGACCUUGCUCGGGUUUCAAGGCAAGCAAACAACUUUCUUUAUUUCAAAGGCUCAUUGGCCUUCUGCAGGGUGUUUCAAUUUUUAUCAAAUGAGGUCAAAUAUACCAAGUCUCAAAAUUAUCCUAAGUCAAGAGGGAAAUAGCUUUUCAUCUUAUAAUCGGAAUCUAAUGUGCACAGUGUGUGAAUAGCUUAAAGUGGAAGAACUCAAUUUAAUUUCAGUAGAAGUUUCAACAAUUCAUCAACUUUAAUAAACAUAAUACAAACUCUAAGUCAAGUAAAAAAGACAAAAAUUCAAUUUCUCCCAUUUCAUUUUUGAGAAUUUUUCCUUAAUAACCAUGGAGAGUAGAGAAAAAAACUUAAAAAAAUUUAAAAACUUAGCAUUAUUAACAAUACUUACUUCCUCAACUCUCCCCCCAACCAAGUUGAACAUUGUCCUCAAUGUGACAAAAGCGAUUGAAAAAUAGGGAGGAAGUGGUACCUCUUGAGUAACAUGGAGUCUGAGUCGUAUAGGAGAAACCACAUGUUUCAAAGAAAGCAUAAGAGUUAGUGAGUAGAGGAAAUAGAAAAAUGCCAAGUUUAAACAAAAAUGAUGUCUAUAUAUGAUGUAUCAUCAGUAAUACAUCCAAUCCCAGAAUAUAAGACAUCAAAAUAUGAAAUUAUUUAUACUAAUAUAAUAUGUAAAGACCAAAAAGUAAAGAGAUGAUCAAGUAAUGGUAAGGUCUUGUGGAGCUUAUGCAUCUGUAGUGGCCUCUUGAAUAGGUUGGAUUAGGACUUUGGCCUCUGUUCUGGUAGUCUCCUUUGGUGGCAUAGUCUCCUCAACUAGAGCUCUCAGUUGGUAGCUAUGGGAUUUGAUGGUUUAAGGAGGUCAGUAAUGGAGCGAGAGGCUUAGUGUGUGUGAUCCCAGGGUGUGCGGGGCUCUCCUCUUCAUAUGCAUGGUUGCAGGGCUCUAUUGGCAUUUUAGCAACCUCCCUUGGCUUUGCAAAGUGUUUUUGCAAAUCACCCUCCAUUUCAUAAGUCAAUUUCGCAAUUUGAAGGCCAUUUCUAAGCUUGGAGGUGAUUUUGCAGGAAAUGGGCAAUUUCGCAGCCCAUUUCUGAAGCUUGGAGCAUUUUCGCAGCAGGGGGUGGAUUUCGUAGAGGAAGGGAAUUCUCGCAGCCCAUUUCGUAGCUUAAAAGUGAUUUCGCAGCUCAAAGGUGAUUUCGCAGCCAUAUCGCAGCUUCAAAAUGAGGGAACUGUGCUGCAAAUGGCACUCGUGUGCCAAAAAGUGGUUUCGCAGCUGCGAAACACCCUUCCAAAUGGUGUCUCGGCUGCGAAAUUCUCGCUCAGCUUUGUGCGCUUGUCUUCAAAUGACCAUAACUUCUUCAUUUCACCUCUAAAUCACAUACUGUUUGAAGCUCUGGACUCCUGACUUCCCAAGCUUUGAAACGAGAUAUCAUAUGCAUAAUUUGAGCUCCAGGAAGUGCUUCAAAAAUGUGUCCAACAGUAGCAAAAUGGGGGUGCGACAUUUCCGUUUGCACAGUCAUCUUCAAACAGCCAUAACUUUUUCGUUUCAAAUCCAAAUCGAGCACCGUUUGAAGCUAUGGACUCGUGACUUCCCAAGCUUUCAAAUGAGAUAUUGAAUGCAUAAUUUUAACUUCGGGAAGUGAUCGAGAUGUGUCCAAAAAUUGCCAAAAUGGGGGUGCGGCUGUGAAAUUGGGAUUUUUCACGUUUUGGAACUUCGCAACCGUUUCGCAGCUGCGAAAUGAGGGUCACUGUGCUGCGAAAUGGCACUCGUGUGCCAAAACUGGCUUUGCAAUUGCGAAAUACCCUGCGGAAUGGGACUUUUGGUGCGAAAUCAGGCUUUACCACUUCGCAAUGCGUUUCGCAGCUGCGAAACAGAUGCUCUUGUGCUGCGAAGUGGCACUCGUGUGCCAAAAAUGGUUUCACAGCUGUGAAAUCCUCUUCCAAAUGGAGCUUUCCCUGCGAAAUGGAGGAUUUCAUGCUUUGGUGGUUCGCAGCCGCUUUCGCAGCUGCGAAAUGGGGGCCACUGUGCUGCGAAGUGGCACUCGUGUGCCAAACUUGGUUUCGCAGCUGCGAAAAUUUUCGCAGAGAGGGGCCUGAGGCUGCGAACUGGUUUUGCAGCAAAGUGCCGAUUUCGCAGAGGCUGCGAAAUCUCGCAGACCCCUGUUUUUCCCCUGUUUUCGCUCCGUUUGACUCUGAUUUUGCUCCGAAAGACUUCCUUCAAUUUCUUUUCAAUUCCUCUUGAUUUUGAUCAUCCAAAAACCUAUAUUACAUCAAAUCAAAUUAGAAUUAAAGCAUUGAAAUCAAAAUUAAAGCAUUGAAAUCAAAAUUAAAACAUUGAAAUCAAAAUUAAAACAAGUAAAAAAUAAAACAAAAAGAUAUGGACUAGCUAGUCUUUAAAAAGACUAAGUCCAUAAAAAAAUUUGAUCCUGAUUUAGCUUGCCCGGAUCCCAUAUGAAGUUUGCAUCCUUCAAUUGAGACUUGGUUUGUAUGAUUUUCCCAUACAAAGCUUGGAGAAAAGGUGGAGGCAUGUGUUUCUUCAUCAAUUCUUCCUUGAUGACUAUCCUCUGUGAUUUUUCAUCUAUACUUAGAUCAUAGUCAUCUUUCUCUAUGCUUUUCCCCUUUUUCUUUCCUUUGAUUUCCUCCCUCUUUUCUUUCUCUGUUUCACUGUCUACCUUAUGCUCUAGCUUGCAUGUGGGCAGAUCAACCUCUUUACCACUCAAAGUGAUAACCGUUGUAACUUCCUUCUCCAUUAAAGAUUCUCCCUCUUGAGCCUCCACUUCAUGGAUGCCCUUGGAAUUUUGAUAAGGUUGAGAAGGAGAGUUUUCUUUCUCUUGCAUUGUGUUCAAAUUUAUGAGCCUGGAGAUUGAAUACUGGAUGUUAUCAAAUUUUUGAUUCAUAUCAUUUUGCAUUCCAUCCAUCCUUUGAUCAAGUCGAGCAUUGGUGGCUUCUUGCUUUCCAAUAAAAUCUCCCAUUACCUUGCAAAGAUUCACCAUAGCUUGUUCAAGGUUUGAGGCUUGCUGUGGUGCUUGAGCAGGUUGCUGAUACUGAGGUGGCUGUGGUUUCCAAGAGAAAUUUGGAUGGUCCCUCCAAUUGGAAUUGUAGGUGUUGCAAUCACCUAACAUUUCCCUCUCGGCUGGAAUGGUAGGACACUCAUCCACCAAGUGCUCAUAUGAUAGACAAAUGGCACAAGGCAUAGCUUGCAAUGGUAUUUGAGAGAUGGCUUGCACUGGUUGCAUAUUCGUCAUUUCUAGCUUUUCCAAUCUCCUUUCCAUAGCUGCAAUCUCUGCCUUCAUGUUCAUACCAUCAUUCAAAAUAUACAUCUCACCCUUAGCAUUAGGUUGAGACAUCAUUCUUCCCAUAUCUCGAGCAUUUGGUUCAUCCCAUUCUCUUGAGACUUCAGCCACAUAACUUAUGAAGUUCAUGGCUUCUUCUGCUAUCUCGUAAUCAAUAUAGCAUGCACAACUAGCAAUUUGUGAAUUAAAAACAGGGAAUACAAAAGAAAACAAAAGAAAAACAAUUCAAAGAAAGAAAAUUAAGGUAAACUAAAAACUAAAUAAAAGGUAUACUAAAACAUGAACAAUAAAGAAAUAAAAAGAGUUAGUAAAAGGAAAAGAAAAGUCACCAAACUUGUGAUGAAGAUCACAAGUACUCUCAAAAGGUGAUAUCACUGUAAAGUGGCACCAUCCCCGGCAACGGCGCCAUUUGAUUCGUGCCCAAUUGGUGUCUCAACUGAUUCGUGUCUAGCUGGUGCUCCUUGAUUGAGGGAGUAAUCAACAAAAUUUAUAACCUAUUACACCAUAUACUAGGGUAGCAAAGACAAAGCUACUAUAGUAUAGUGGCUCUAGGAUCGUUCACUGGGAUGGGUUUUCACUUUGCAAAUGAUAUUAGUUCAAAGCUGAAUUGGUGUCUUUUCAUUUCAAGGUUAGCUUUAAAAGAAAACAUAAAGAUGUUUGAAUGAAAAAGGUUUGGUUUUAAACUAACCACAAAUAGUAACUGAUUUUAACUACAAAGAAAAGUGUUUCUUGGAGUUCAGAUCACUAGGCUUAUUCCUCAUACAAAAAGGAGAGUUCCGGUCACUUGUUUCUUUUCCUCGCAUUAGAGAAUUAACAUAUAGUUAAUUCUCUAACCGGUGUUGUACAGAUGCUUCCCAUUAAUGGGUUCAAACACUAAAUCCCUCUCACUGAUGCACUUUGCAAUGGCUCAUACCUCUCACCUAGCACUUGCCAUUCAAGGUGAUCUUUAACCUUGGACUUCCCUUCAAAAGCUCGCAAGAGAUAACUAAUGGAUGUCUCCUUGGAGUCCAAAAGCUUACCAAGUGUUGGCUAUUCUAGAAAAUCCUACCUUCAAGUCACCUCCCAAAGGCUCGUAAGGGGUAAACUAGUGCAUUUCCAUGGUUGGAAAUCACUUGCCUUACUAAGUGUUGGCCCAAGUGACUCUAAGGUGUUUUAAGUUAACUAAAAACAUAGAAAUCACUAACGGGUUACACUUUCUCUUCAUUAAAAACUAAAACAACAAAACUUCCAAAUUAUGCAUGUGGAAACUUACCCGGCUUUCCUCACUCCAAGAGACAAAAAACUUAGCCUCUCAUCCUCUGUGGAAAAAUCCUCAGAGUUUGGUUGGCUAGAAAAUGAAAAUGAAAGAGAAGACAAGAAUAUAUAUGAAAAACAGAGCAAGUGCUCUGUUCCUUGAUUCUAUAUAUGAUAUAUCUAUAUAUUACAUACUUCCCCCAGCGUCUCCUUUUUAGUGUUUACAAAAGAGCUUAUAUAGGAAGGUAAUUUACCCUUCCUUGGAUAUUUCCUAGCUAAGGAAUUACAUGAGUGGCUGAAUACAAGGAGAAAAUGGAAAUUUAUACAAAAAUAUCUGAAGAAAAAUAUCCAAAAGAGUCGGUGCACAAAUAUUAGGAAGCACUAAGGACAUUUCGCAGGUGAAAACGAGGUCUGCGAGAUUUCGCAGACACUCAAGAGGGCUGCGAAAUAUUUUCGCAACAACAAGUUAAACUCGUAGGGCUGCGAAAUUGGCUUCCACCUUGAGGUUCUCAGCGUUCCAGCUUGCGGCAUGUAUCGGGUAGCUUCAGGAGGAAUUCCAUAUCACUGUACAAAAAGGCUGCGAAAUUCUCGCAACAAAAGGCUGAUUUCGCAACACUUUGGAGUGAUCUUCUUGAAAUGGCUGUAACUCCUUCAUUUCAACUCCAAAUCACGCACCGUUUGAAGAAUUGGAUUCUUGACUUCCUGAGCUUUGAAAUGGUAUAUAUCAUGUAGAAAAUGGACUUCGGGAAGUGCUCCAAAAGUGUGCAAGAAGACUGCAGCUGCUGUCCUUUGUUUUCUUCACUUUGUUUUUCCUCUCUCCUUGCUUCUCUCCUUGCAUACUUUGAACGACUAAGGCAAUGGGCUAUGGAGAUCCAAAGCUUGGUUCUUCAUGAAUUUGAGCUCUUCAUUUCUUUGCCAUGGAUUCCAAAUAACUCUCCUCAAUCUUGGAUUGUUUUGGUGAUCAAAUUACUAACAAAAACACCAAAACUUACACAAUUUGAUUAGAAAUGAUUGCAAGGGUCCUUAACAUGUUAAUUGGGUUAAAAGGCAAUAACUACUACUCAAAAGUGUUUAAAAGGAUUAAUUACAAGCUACAAAAUAGCACUUUUUGAGUAGUAAUCAAUUAACUGCACAGGGUCGUCUAAUUAAUCAAUUAGCCCAAUUUAGAGUACUUGUUCACUAUUCCUUGUGUAACCUUGUGUAAUUACCAAGACACCCUUAUUCACAAAAAUUAACUAAGAGUCGAUUCAUCUCUCAUAAAAUGUGUCAUCAUGGCAUAUGAGCUCAGAAUAUGGACCAUUGGGACCCAUAGGAGUACUGGCUCCCUCAUACUCUAAUUUUGAAGUUGAUUCAACAUUCCAUUAAAGAGAAUCAAAUACACUUCAAUAUCCUAUGUAGAUAACAACGAGAUGAAGCUUAGAAUCUAUGACCUACUAUCCACUACAUGCAGACUCCCUAUGAACCGGUGUCCGUAAUACAACAAGGUUGUGCUAUAACCUAUCAAGAUUACCUCUGCAAUUCUUGAGUUAUAGAUCCCACUUAUUAUGUGAUCAAUUGACAUACUCUAGCUUUAAGGAGCAUAUGUCAAAUUUCCAUUAAAGGAAAUGCAGUGGCCAUAGUCUUCUAGAUCACAUGUCCUUUGGAUCACCCAAGGGGACACAUUGUUUCAAUCCAUGAGAUAUCAUGGUGCCUUUAUUGAGAAUAUCUAUUGUCACCAACAGUGACCUAAUCCAUAGGGAUAUAUGACCACUUUAGGGUCUCACCCAUAAUUCAAAGCCUCCUGUUAACUUUAACACAAGCUCAAUAUCCUCUCAAGGUUGAGAUUCCAUGUAGUAUAGUAGCUUGGUGAAUCAUGACAAUUGAUAGUUUUAUGUCAUGAUUCACUGUAGUUCUUAUCCAAUGUGCAUCAUAUACAUUAGUACACUUACCAUGGGAAAACCAUCCCAACAGCCAAGACAAGUCAUCUCUCCAAGUAGGAUGUAGAACACUACAAUCUCAAAUGGAUAACCCAAAUUCCUGAACCAACUAUGGAAAGCUCAUCACUCUACAGGGAACCCAUGACAUGGAUCUUAUGUACAACACCUAAUAUGCCCAAGUCACGUACAAUGUAAGUAACGUGGGGAGUGUAUGCUCAAAUAAACAAUUAAUACAAAUGAGAUAUUUAAGGGAACCAAGAAACAUAAAUAAAUUUAUAAAUGAAUCUCAAUCUAUUACAUCAUGUCAUGUUUUCCAAGGCUCAAUCCCAAAACUAAUUUCUAAGAUCUCUACAAUCUUUAAUCUUUAACCCUCAAGGGGUUAUUAGGGAGGUAUUUAUAGGAAAUGACCCAAAGAGUUUUAGUAUUUUAAGUUUCCAAAUUAGAGUUUGAGUGAAAUUCAUUCAAAAGUUGUUUCUAAACUUGGUAGGAUUGUCAUGAUCGCUUGAGUAAACUAAGGCCACUUGAAUGUUUCACUUGAGCAGUCCUUACCGCUUGAGCAGGCUAACUGCUUAAACGAUCUUUUCCACUUAAGUGACCCCUACUUCUUUUGAAAAAUCAUUUUAAGUCAAAAAAUAAUACUAAACCUUUUAUACAUCAAAGAAGCCUUAUAUGCCAUAAGUCAAACCUUUUUAAAUGUACCUAUGACUUCCUGGUUGGAUGAAUAGCAACCCUUAAUCUUCAAUGGAGAGCAAGUCAUUAUCUAAAAAGACUUCUAUGAUCAAACAUAAAAUGAAACAAAAUUGUCAACAUAUAAAGAAGACUUAAUGUCCUAAUAGGAAACAUUAGAACUUUCCUUAUCUACUCAGUUUGAGUGAAAAGACUUCAAGUAGGUGAAGUACUUCAAGGGAUUGUGAGUGCCCAUUGGAGACCAUGAAUCCAAAUAUAAAGCUUCAAGGCUUAGGUUGAAGGCCUUUGAUAGUAGAACCCUCACUUGGUUAGGAGUUUAAAAAGAGUGGAUAUAGGCGGAUUUUCAAACCACUAUAAAAGAGUUUGCAUAUAUUUUCUUUUUAUCUUUUGCUUAAUUAUUGCCUUAAUUAAUUUCUCUUAUUAUUUUUGUUAUUAAUUGGUUGUUUCUGAACAAAAAUUUUGACACCUAAUUCAUCCCCCCUCCCAUCCCUUUAGUAGUUUACUUAAUCAAAUUGGCCAUUUUUCACAAUUAUUAUCAGGUACAUAUAUGUUAUGGAGAAUGGUGGGUAUGAUUGGCAACUGGAAAAUGACUUUUCAAGAAGGUAGAUGGGUUGGUGGUGAAAAUGGUGAAAGGUUGAAGGGGUUAUGGCAUUGGGUACAGAUGUGGUAAGCCAUUAUUUGCAAUGGUGGUUUUUUUUUAUUUACUUUUUCAUCUUUUUCCCCAAACAACACUCCACACAACUCCAUUUAUUUCAUCUUUGCUAUAAAAACAAAACAUGCUACUACAACACAUUUAAUGUGCUUCAUUAUGCCAUGAGUUUUAUAUUAUUUAAAAUUUAGAAAUUAAAAAAAUUAAAAAAAUUAAAAUUUAAAAAAAAAAUUAAAAAACAGAAUUUAUAAAUUAAAAAAAAUAGAUUAAAAAUAAAAUUCAAAAUUUACAAUUUUGCAUUAUUUAAAAUUUAGAAAUAAAAUAAUUUAAAAAUAUUAUGUUUUAUAUACACAUGAUGAUAGGCUGGUACUACUGAUCCAUCGGGUUGAAAUAAAGGUGGAAUGGUUUCAAAAAAGCUCCAUCAUCUUCAGCCUUGUAAAUUCAUCAGCAAUCAAUAAGAAAGUAAGAAUUUUAUGUUAAAUUUUUUGCCUUCAUUUAAAUUUCUGUAUUAUGUAUUUUUCUUACCCUUAGGGGGUAAAAAGGGGUAAAAAGGUAAAAUAGGGAAAUGAAAAUUAUUUGAAUUAUUUUUAAGUUUUCUUUACUAGUUAAUAUAUGCAAUAUACAUGGAUCCUUUUUAUAUAAUGUUCUCAUCAACAUAAAAAAAAAUAAAAUUAAAAAUAAAAAAAAUAAAAAAAAAUAAAAAAUAUCGGUUUAUUUAGAAAAUUUUGGGUGUAAAAUCAUGUUUUAAAACUAGAGUCUUUAGUCUUAACCCUUGACCUCAAACCCGUUUUUGCCGGAAAAUUGGCGUUUUAGGGAGACUAUGUCUGGUCAGAAGGGGGGUAUUACCUUGACACGAAGUGAUGUUUUAAAAUUUUUGAAUUUUAUUACCAGAAUUUUUGAGAUAUCCGAUUUCAAAAGAUUUCAAAACUUAAUUUUAUACGUUCAAAAAACUUUCACUAUAAGUUUAAAAAUUUUAUGUUAUUUUAAUAAGUCUUUGUAAAAUUUUAUAUUAUUUUAUUAGGUGUUUGAAAAUUUUAUGUUAUUAUAAUAAGUCUUUGUAAAAUUCUAUAUUAUUUUAAUACUAGUAAUAAAUGUGUUCACACUUAAAUUCAAUAAAAAACUCUAAUCAAACCCUCAUUGCUAACGGAGAUUUAAAGAAACUUUACUAACAAACUGUUGUUGAAACUGGUGAUGGGAAAAGUUGAAAUUACCUCAAAUAAAUAAACCAAUAAUAAGAUAUCCAACAUCUAGUAGCAAUAAAAACUGCAGAUAUAGCAUGCAAUCUUAUAGAUACAAAGGAAUUCAAAAUUGAACCACUCAUCCCUCAACAAGAACCAGAAUGGGAAAUGACCCGUUCAAAUGAAUUAAACGAAGUAUUACAAGAACAAAUUCAGAAAGAAAACCAAAACAAUAUAGAUAUUGUAACACCUUACAAAAAAAAAUUAGUUCAAAAUUAUAAAAUAAUCAUAAUCUAUAUUUAUAAAAAAAAUAUAUGAUAUCUUUAUACACACAAAUUAUAUUUGGAAUUCUAGAUGAAUGGAAUGUUUUUAGAGAAGCUAGACUAUUUAUUUGAUAAAUUCCAAUAUUAACAAUUUUUUAAAAACUAAACAAUAAUUAAUAAAUGUUUCUAUUGGGUUAAACUAGGCAAUUAAAUAUUAGUAUAAAUUUACUUUGUGAGUAAACAAGCUUAGGGGUAGCAAUUUGUGUUGGUGGGUCAUAUUUGUGUUGUGUCAAACCCGACAUGAAUAAUAAUAUGGUUAAAAACAUACACCCAAAUACUACAUAAUUAUUAAACAAGUAACAUGUCAUGUAACUCACUUAUCUUAUUAAAUAAUUAGGCCUUAUCUUUUAAUAAUCAGGUUGAGUUAGGUCUUGUGUUAAUUUAUAUGACUAAUAAAUGUUUAUGACUCAAUUGCCCUAUUUAUUUAAAAUCAAGUUUAAAAUGUGCUAAAUAUGGGUUAAAUAUUUUAAAGUUAUAAUUAAACUAAUCAACACAAUAUGCAUGUUGACCCAAAGACUACCCAGUUAUUAAACGAGUUAUAUAGGUCCACAUGAAUUUGGCUCAAACUCAAUCAUACUCAACUCAAACACAUAAAAAGCAUGUUAGAUUCAAGUCUUCUUGAUGAAUUGUAUCAAAUUUUAUCACCCUUAAACAAGUUCGAUGUCAAAUGAUAACAAAUUAGAAGACUAUAGUUUAUCCAUAACUGACAUAUAUUUAAUUCGAGAUUUAUGUAUUAAAGUGAAAAAUUCGAAAUGGAACUAAAAUAAAAGUAUGAUUAAGAGAAAAUAUUGGAAUAAUGUUGAAGUGUAAUACUUGAACCAACAUCAAGAAAAUAAUGAUCAAAAUGAGAUUAGAGUUCUACAUUCUUUUUUGUUUUCUUUCUCUUUUUCUUGCAUUUCAAAAAUAUCAAACACGAUAAAACACUAUAGAGGUAAAUCAUAUAAUAAUUUAUGAUAAAUUUCAAUUACUUUCAUAACUACUCUUUUAUAUAUAUAUAUAUGUAUUAAAAAAUGUAUGCAAGUAUAAAAACUCCUUUACAAGUUAGUAACUAUAAUAGUUAUUAUCUUAAGGUAUAAUUUAUGAUUUUAUUCUUAAUAAUUAAUUUCUUUUAGCAAAUUAGCAAUUAAUGAUUAAAAAUAAUAAAUGCAUAAUGAGAUCAUUAAAAAAAUCAAAUAGCCAAUUACUAAUAAAGAUAUGGUUGGAUACUUUACAAAAAACCUUUACACAUACAUUUUUUAUUUUGUAAAUAGUAAUAUAGUAGUUGGGCAUAUAGUGUCAUAUAUUGUAUCAUAUAAUAAUUAUCUUGCAAUCAUAUAUUUAUUAAUAAUAUAUAUCUUUAUAUGCACAAGUCAUAUUUGGAAUUUUAUGUAAAUAGAAUGUCUUCAUAGAUGCCAGGCAAUUUAUUUGAUAAAUUCCAUUUUGAACAAUUAUUUAAAAAUCAAGUAAUAAUUAAAAAGAAUUUCUAUUAGUUUAAAGUAGGUAAUUAAAUGUUAGUAUAAAUUUACUUUUUAAGUAGAUAAGACAUGAUUUUGCAUGAGAACAAAUUAGUGGACUAUAGCUUAUUCAUAGCUAACUUAAAUUCAAUACUAUUUUAGAGUUGUAUGAUAACUUUUACCCAAUAUAAUAAAAAUCAUUUAGUAUUAUUUAUGUUUGAGUAGCAUCAUGUAAUAAUAUUGAAAUUUAAAUAAAUUUAUAUUAUAGGAUAUAAUCUAACAUGUCUUGGAUUAUUUGUUAUUAUUUAUAUAAAAAAUAUAAAUAACAUAUUACACUAUAAAAAUUAAUUGCUCAAAUAGUUUACCUUUUUAUUAUUUCAUAACAAAACUAUUAUUACAUUAUAGAACAUUUCAUUUUAAAUAAAUCUAUAAUAUAGUAUUUCAUUUUGUGGAUCUUUAAUUAUAUUUAUUAUUAUUUAUAGAAAUAAAAUAUUAAGUCUCAAAAAAUACAUAUGUCGUUUCACAAUAUAAAUCAUCUUGCUAUUUAUCAAUAUUAUUUAUUAAUAUCACAGUUUAAUAACUUCAUUUAGUGAUAAAAUUAUUCAAUUUGUCAAGAAAUAAUAUAAUCAUUUAAUGAAACCAUUUUGUAAGCAAAUAUAUAUAAAAAGUUGUAACUUUUAGUAAGAAAAUUAUUUUUGUCACCAAAAAUUGUAAUUAGUGACAAAUAUUUUUGUGGGAAAAUAGUUUUUUUCUAUCACAAAAGUGUUUGCACAAAAAAAUGACGACGCCAAAAUUUUCCAUCAUGUCUUUUAGUGAUGAAAAUUUCAAAUUUGUCAUGAAAAGCUUUCAAAAAAUUGGCACCAUUGAUAACAUCUAAAAUUUCAUCAAUAAAAUUUACUUUUAGUGACGAAAGUAUAAUUCACCCCUAAAGUUUCUUUUUUAUUUGCUUCAUUAUGAAAUUUAAGAUAAGUUCUUCAUGUAUGAUUUAUUUUUUAGAUUCUUUUCUCUUUCUUUAACCACGAGAUUAAUAGGAAGAAGAAUUGAGGAAAUGAGAAAAGUGGUUAUGGUAAAGAAAUAAUAAAGUAAUAAUAAUAUUUGGGUUGUGGGUAGGAGAUAAGUAAAAAUAGUAGUAAAUUAAUAUAUAAUUAUCAUACUUCCUACCAUGAAAAAAAAGAAAAGAAUAUUAACAUUAAUAAUUCAACAAAAUCCAUUAAUGUAAUUAUGGGAAGUGAAAAUGAUAAUAAUAAUAUGGUUAAUAAAAAAUUUAAUUAAAAAAAUAGAUUUUUAGAAAAGGGUUUGGAAUUAAAAUAAGUUUUACAAAAAAAAUUAGGAAGCCAUUGAUUUAGAUAAUUAGUCUUUAGGAAUUAAUUUUUAUUUAUAUUUGUAUUAGGUUUAGAUAAAGUCUUUCAAGAUUUUGAAUGAUUUCUUCAAGGUUAGGGUUAAUAGUAUAGUAAACUAUUUUAUAAUUCCUUAUUUAUUUUCAUCUAUUUUUAAACUAUCAAAAUGUUUAAAUUCCUUAAAGCGGAUCAAAUAAUAUUUUACUAAAAAUGUUAUGAUUUGUUCCUUAAUUUAUAAAAUGAAUUAGGAAUAUCAUAUGAUUUAUUUAUUGUUAUGCAAGUGAAUUUUAUUGUUUAAUUUAUCAUAUUGGUUUUGAAACUCUAGUUAUUAGUGGACCUGGUCAAGGGUGCAAUUGUUGACCUUUGUUACCUUUGGUGAGGGUAGUGAUAUAAUGGAACUCUAGCUAAUAAGGGUGCUAUUAUCCUUUGGUAUACCAUUGAUUAUAAAUCAUUUAAUCCAUGUGUAAGAGGAACAAAGUGAGACUAGCCACCUAAUGUAAGUUAUACUAUUUGGACACGAUGUUAUUAUCAAUAAGUUAGAGUAAAAUGUUAUUAUCAAGAACACUUCUAGGUCCAAUCUUGAUAAAUUAUUUAAUUUUGAUUUUUUUUAAAUCUAUAAAUUAUGAUUUUUACCACUAUAAUUUCUUGGUCAAUUCUCAAAGUCAAACUUGUAUUCCAUGAUACACAACCUGAUUGAAGCUGAGUUGUAAGAAAUUAAUUUUCAAGCAUUUGGUUUAUUUAAAAUUUGGUAAGUGAUCAAAUAUCAUAAUUAUAGUGGUCCUACUCAUUUAACUGGUCCUGGAAGAACAUUCAAAACCAAUACGCAUUCAAAUUACUUUAUCUUAUAUUGAUACGUGACGAGAAAUUUUUGAACCCCAAGAGAAUCGUCUUGGGUGCCCAUAGAAGGUGACAACAGCCAUAAAAGUUGUUGUUCAGCUUUCACCAAUUCUAGUUUUGGUUUUCUCCAGCCUCUAUAAAUACCUCUAAGAAUUCAUCUAUUCAUGUCAAAGAGCAGAUAAGUCGUGCUAUUAGAAAUAGUAAGAAAAUUGAAGGAGUUGUGUUUAAGACAAGAGAAGCUUUUCUUCCAAAGAAGAUGUGGCAGAUCAUGAAGGUUUUCCUCUUGCAAAUUUUACCAUUUCUACUUUUUGGUGGUGGCAUCUAUUGCCAAGCUUCAACCCGUCGGUUUACUUUUGUGGUAAAUACUAUAUAUGAUUCUAGCCUUAACGCCACCUUAUGAUCGUAAUAUUCAGGGAGUAGUAUUACUCUCAUUUUCCACCGUAUAACCCCCAUGGGGUCUUGGGUACCCUAUGUCAUUGAGUCAUUCAUGCAUGCUAUCAAUUUCUAAUUGGUUAUACACUUGCAUGAAUGGAUUGAUGCAACUAUUCAUGCAUGUAAUAUGUCUUUAGGGAUGAGGUUGCAUGGUUAACUUUUAAUUGGUUGCAGGUGAAGGAAGCUUCAUAUACAAGGCUUUGUAGCACCAAGAACAUCAUAACAGUAAAUGGACAAUUUCCGAGACCAACUAUAUAUGCUAAGAAAGGAGAGACGAUCAUUGUCGACGUUUAUAACAAAGGAAAAGAAAACAUCACCAUUCAUUGGUAGGUCUUGUGCAUAUCUAAAAAAUGAUAGCAAUCGGCAACAUGCUUACAUGACAUACAUUCUUUUAUUUCUAAGAGGGGGUUGCAAUCUAUUGCUUUGCAAAUAAAGUCAAAUUUAAACAAUACUUUGUGGUUAUUUGCUUCAAUUCCAUUGAAAUACAGUCGAUGCCUCUUGUUACUAUGACAAUAUGUUGUUGCAUGCCAUCUUUUGUUAGUCCAAAAAUUAGUACUAGUUUUAAUGUAUAGUUAUUGUUUUCAGGCAUGGGGUGAGCAUGCCUAUAUAUCCAUGGAUAGAUGGUCCUAAGUAUAUCACACAAUGCCCAAUUCAACCAAGGUCAAAGUUUAGCCAAAAGAUCAUCCUUUCCUUUGAGGAAGGCACUCUAUGGUGGCAUGCUCACGGUGAUUGGACCCAAGCCACCAUUCAUGGAGCUAUAAUCGUCUAUCCUAAGAACGGAACCAAAUAUCCUUUUCCCAAACCUAAUGUAGAAGUUCCCAUCAUAUUAGGUAUAAGUGUUGUUACUUUUAAAGCUUAAUUUACAUAUCAUGAAUUAACCAACAAAUCAAAGUCUAAAAUUAUUGGAGCUGUUGAAAUGCAGGACAAUGGUGGAAGAGUGAUGUGAAUGUGGUUCGAGAUGAAGCGCUUGCAACUGGAGCUAACCCCAAUGCCUCUGAUUCUUUAUUGAUAAAUGGACAACCUGGUGAUCUAUUUCCAUGCUCAAAAUUAGGUACAAAUUAAGUUUAACUUCCCAUUUUAAAAUUGUAUACAAUUUCAUUUUCUUGUAUUUUGACCAUAUUACUUUUUCUUAUUAACAUCAACAUAUUUAAAGCUUAAUGCUAAAAAAGAGGAAUAUAGCUAUGAGGAUGGUAGAGUCAUGAUUUAACACAUAAGAAAAGGCUCGUCCAAAUAUAAUUUUAAACUAUGGAGCCAAAUUUACACCCUUAAUCACUUCAUAAUUGGUGGAUCCUCAUGGAAACUUUUUCUUUAUCUUUUCACUAGUCAUAAGCAUAAAACUUUCCCUUUCUAAUUGUAGGCACAUUCAAGCUAACGGUGGAUCAUGGAAAGACCUAUCUACUUCGCAUAAUCAAUGCUGCCUUUCACGAGGCUCUCUUCUUCUCCAUUACCAAGCAUAAAAUGAUAGUGGUUGGAACAGAUGGUAGCUACACAAAACCAUUGACACGAGAUUAUAUCACAAUAUAUCCUGGCCAAACCUACGAUGUCUUACUAGAAGCUAACCAACACCCGAAUCACUAUUACAUGGCAGCUAAAACUUAUUCCAUUAUCUCGGAAGCUUGUAAUUUUUAUGAUAACACAACCACCACAGCUAUUGUAUAGUAUAGGGGAUACUACACUCCAUCUUCACCUCCCUCCUUGCCUCAUUUGCCUGCAUACAAUGACACAAAUGCAUUGGUUCAGGUCAUGGCCGGCCUUCGAAGCUUAGCAGAUGCGGAACAUCC
This 74670-nucleotide long non-coding RNA is filed under the name Vitis vinifera (wine grape). RNAcentral describes it as "long non-coding RNA (VVIN_LNC007047)". The record is from RNAcentral. Lineage: Eukaryota; Viridiplantae; Streptophyta; Magnoliopsida; Vitales; Vitaceae.